CGGCGACGCUAUUUAGCCGGGCGCGGCCGCUCCGGCACCUUCACCCAUCAGCAGCAGCUACCGACUGGUCCAGCACACUCUCUCGCCUCACGCAAUGGCUGCCUCCACCAUGGCGAUCUCCUCCACCAUGGCCGGCACCCCCAUCAAGGUGGGCUCCUUCGGCGAGGGCCGCAUCACCAUGCGCAAGACCGCGGCCAAGCCCAAGGUGGCGGCGUCCGGCAGCCCGUGGUACGGCCCCGACCGCGUCAAGUACCUCGGCCCCUUCUCCGGCGAGCCCCCGAGCUACCUGACUGGCGAGUUCCCCGGCGACUACGGCUGGGACACCGCUGGGCUGUCCGCUGACCCCGAGACCUUCGCCAAGAACCGCGAGUUGGAGGUCAUCCACUCCCGCUGGGCCAUGCUCGGCGCGCUCGGCUGCGUCUUCCCCGAGCUGCUCGCCCGCAACGGCGUCAAGUUCGGCGAGGCCGUCUGGUUCAAGGCCGGCUCCCAGAUCUUCAGCGAGGGCGGCCUCGACUACCUCGGCAACCCCAGCCUUAUCCAUGCGCAGAGCAUCCUCGCCAUCUGGGCCUGCCAGGUCGUGCUCAUGGGCGCCGUCGAGGGCUACCGCAUUGCCGGCGGCCCACUCGGCGAGGUCGUCGACCCGCUCUACCCCGGCGGCAGCUUCGACCCCCUCGGCCUGGCCGACGACCCUGAGGCCUUCGCCGAGCUCAAGGUCAAGGAGCUCAAGAACGGCCGCCUCGCCAUGUUCUCCAUGUUCGGAUUCUUCGUCCAGGCCAUCGUCACCGGCAAGGGCCCGCUCGAGAACCUGGCCGACCACCUCGCCGACCCAGUCAACAACAACGCCUGGGCCUACGCCACCAACUUCGUCCCCGGCAACUAAGCUCGCCAUUCGCCUCUGCAACUCCAUUGUCUUCCGGCCGGGAGGGGCGUACGUGGAUUGGUUGAUGCUGCAAGCGAGCUGCCGCAUGCGUGUCUUGUUUCACGUUGCAUUUCAGGGGCAAGUCGAGAUGAUGAGUCGGCGUUGUACACUAAGAUGAUGUUUGUGCAAUAGUAGUGGUUUUGUUCCCUGGUGGUUAACCUUUGAUUUGUCUGAUUAAGGACAUCUAAUUAAGAGGACUAAACAUGAGCUAAUUAUAAAACUAACUAUACAUAUGGAGGCUAAUUCGCGAGACGAAUCUAUUAAAUCUAACUAUAUUCGUCUCGCGAAUUAACCUCUGUAAUUAAUUUUUAAUUAAUCUAUAUUUAGUACUUGACGACCGCGGAACCAAACGGGAGAUUAAACGUAUAAAUAUAUAUAUAUCGCAGACCUCGGCAUGUUUCAUCCUGUGAUACAUGCCACGUGUCCACUAGACAGUGCUGGUGCCGGAAGAAAAAAAGAGGAUCGACGGUGACUGCACUUUUACCGUAUCAGCUUACCGUGUUCUUUUUUUACCGUCCAUGGGCCGUUGUACUCUGGUUUCCUUGAGCCGUUUCGUACGUUAGGCUUCGGCCUACGUGUGCGUCGUCAGUGUGUGUCCAGUGUUGUGGCCUACUGUUUUGCCGCUUAGUUGCCUUCAAACGCUAUAUGUAAAUUAACAGUUGGUGUAUAUCUAAUCUGGACAAUUGUUGAGCUUGUUAUCUACAUAUUUUAGUAUGUUCUUGUAUUAACCCGUCUCUUGACACUUGAAAUAAUUCCGUUUUUCAUAUGUAUUGUAUUUUGGAGAACCUUCUAUUUUUUCAGGAAAUUGGACUAUAUCGAGGCAUAAUUGGACAAGGUUCUGGACAAGCAACAACAUAGAGAAAGACGAAGGCCAACGGGUCCAAAAAGGACCUAGGCCAGGCUGAUCGGCCUAGGGUCCUCAGGGCCCCGAUCAUGCUCGUUCUUGGCGAGCACUCCUAGGCCGAUCGGCCUGAGGUGUUCCUUCACCCGAUUACCUUCCAAUUUCUGCCACGAGCUCUUCAAACUAUGAAUACCCCAAAAAUUCAGAGAGCCCCGGCAUUCAUCCGCCAGAACUCGACGAAACCAAAGGCAUACACCAAAGGGAGCUGAGGCCCACUGCAAGUCUUCAGAGUUGUCUUGGAGAUGGCUUAGGCCGACCCUAGCCGCCAUGGCCUCCCUGCACGAUUGUGCCAUGGUGGAGUUCAGGAGAGCCAGUAGUAGAUCGUCGAUGGUAUGUACUCAGAGGUGAUGAUCUAAAUACAUCUAUUAUAUGAGCAACGUUCUUCAUAUCAUCUGAUCUAUUAGCGACUUGUUGUCUCCUUCUAUGCUUUCUACUUAUCAUGAAUAUGCUUGUCCCUUAGUCUAAUGCUAGUUUAGACUACAUAGCAUGCUUUAUGUAAUCUUGGUGAUUAGAUCUAGUAUGUCGAUCCUUCAUGAUAGCUAGACAUGUUCACCUGUGUUCGUACCCUUAAAUUGCCUGCGCCGAUAGGGGGAUCGUGACGGGGUCUGCUUCCGUGUAGGGUGGGGGUUUUCGGGAUGUUGACCGGAGGUAGUAGUAGUUUAAAGAUUGCUUUGGAUGAGAUACAUGAUGUGCUUGCUCGUUGGCUAGAACUACAACUAGAAGAUGAUAGGCUCUUUCUACCCUUGGUGGUGUUAUAUCAUAUAUAUCUGUGGAUGUGAUCUACACUUAUUCAUGCCAUUGAUCUUUACAACAAAUUUGCCUUCAUAUGCAAUCAAUGCUUCAUGUUAGGACUAAUCCGUUAGAUUAGAUGGAAAUCCAGAGUCAGUUUGCUGCCGAUCCACGGAUUGAUAAAUCUUGGAUAUAAUACUUUAAGAGAAAAGCUAUGAUGAUCCGUUCGUUUAUGGUUCACGACUUAACGUGUUAACUACCGUCAACAACAAUGUAUGUUUGUAUGGAUACACCCGGUACCAUUUUUUACAUGUCAAACAUAUUAUGCAGUUGCAAAACAAAUGGUUUAUUGUGGCUCCUGUUCAACUUCCGUGGCUCGAUAGAGAAACACUUAUUCAUAUCGGCUCAUCUGUGCCCGACAUAAAUGAGCCGGCAUGGAUAAGUCAUCCAUAUCAGGUUGAAAAUGAGCCAGCGCAAACAUUCAAUUAUCCCUGGCUCUAUUAUUCAUGCUGCUGUAAUUUUGAGCUGGCACGAAUAAUCCAUUUUUCAUGCUAGCUCGAAAUUGCAUCGGCACAAAAAAAAACUCCUAUCUAUGGAAUUCGAAUUUUAGCUUAUAUUCAAAUAAUUCGUAACUUGUGCGUUCAAACUCGGAUGGAGACAAAUUUUAUAUCAAAAUUGUACAGUUUCACCAGAUCUACAACUUAGUUAAAUAGUUUUUUAUUUGAAGUCAUUUAGAUGCUCAAAUUGUUGAUCACAAUACUAGACAACAAGGGUAAAAAAGAAUAAAACUUCCCUUUGUGUGCAUAUAUGUGGUAUAUGUGUGAUGGUAAUGAGGUAUCGUGCGAGGGGGGAGGUUGUGAAUUCGAAGGCUAGACACCUCACACAUGUGACUUCUGACUAUAGAGUGGCCUCCAUGCCUAGAAAAAAAAUAUUUUGCUAUAAGUUUUCAUUUUUACUAAUUGUGUUGGCGCAAUUUUUCACCAGUAGGUACAAUCCGUUAUUCGUGCCGGCGGAAUUGUCCACGGUACGAAUAAUUCGUUAUUCGUGCCAGUUGGCACGAAAGCUGUUCAUGUUCGCAUCGGCUUCGUGGUGCCGGUUUGUUUAAUUGCAUGAAUGAGGUUUUCGUGCCAGAUGAGAUGAGGUGCUCUGCAGUAGUGGAGGGCCACAAAUUUACAUGUUACAUGUAUAGUUCCAUUCGUGUGACGUAGUGAACUAAUGAUCGGGCCACACAUUUACCAUAGAGACUAGACUAUUCGUUCUGAGCCAUAAAAAAGUUCACAAUUCCUUAUGUGCCAUUAAAAAUGUUUUGUUGCCUUUCCAAUCAUCGUAUCAAAUUUUUGGAUACCUCAGUGCCACUGCCGUCCAUUACCGUCAGCUCUGUUGCCGUGAACCCCUAAUUACAUGUCAGUUCUUUUCACAAAUGGCCAUUUUGCACUUCCAUCGUUUCAUUUCAGUUCACCGGUCAUUAUUCAGUCAAUCAGUAUGCCGCUUCGUCGGAAGAAAAUUAGGUGCACACCGGAUGCAAAACGCAUCCGGUACAUACCCGUGUGCUCGGCCGACGCGUGGAGGGCGCCCCAAAUCCGACGGAAGCAAUCGUUGGGUCCAGCGGCUCGUCGCGGCGCGGCUCGGCUGCAUGGCUCGAUAACGCACGGCUGCAUGGCUCGGAAGGGAAGGAAUAGGCGGUGCCGUACGUUGAGGUCCUUCGGGUCUCCAGCUUCCGGCAGCCGGCCGUACGUUGCCUUCGGUGGAUACCUCCUGCACACAUACGAGUAGAGCACGACGACGAACAACGCCAUGAGUGUCAAGCACCACCCGAACUACACGUUGAUGACGGCCUUAGCGUGGUGCUCGCUUUCGUCGCUGUGGCAGCGGAUAGAGAGGCCGCCAUCCUUGAGUGAGUAGCCAUUGGCGAUGAGCCCCGGGAGCCACAUGACGCCGAUGUCCAUGAACCACACCCCCUGGAACGUGAGUGCCACCGACCGGAUCAGGCUCACCGUGAAGCUUUGCGGGAAGCUGGCGUCGAGGAGCGCGGUGGCGAGGCGGCGGCGACGACGGCCUGCAGGAACCAGUGGAACUGGCCCUUGACGCCGGCGUGGUCGGAGGAGUGGACGUGGAACAUGAAGAGCUCCUGCGCGUAGACGAGCGCCAUGAGGAGCGUGCAGAGCGUGCGGCGGCCCCGCAGCCACCAGGAGCGGUCGAGGUACGCGGCGGCACCGGUGUAGAGGACGAUCGCGGUGUAGAUGACGGUCCGCCGGCCAGAUGGAGAAGGUGGCGGCGGCCCAGAUGGAGGAGGCGGCGGCGGCAAGUGCGUCGCCAGGAGAUCACGAGGCGGCGGCUCGCGUUCCCCAAACCCUCACCCAACUAUUCCUUCCCUGCCGAGCCAUGCAGCCGUGCGUUGUCGAGCCAUGCAGCCGAGCCGCGACGAGCUGCUGGACCCAGCGAUUGCUUCCGUCGCAUUUGGGGCGCCCUCCACGCGUCGGCCGAGCGCAUGGGUAUGCACCGGAUGCGUUGUGCAUCCGGUGUGCACCUAAUUUUCUUCCCGCUUCGUCUUGCUUUGCUUGAUGCCCCUCUUACAGCUUUGGGCCCAUCUGCAAGGCUCCAAGCCAACAAAUGGCAUCACGUUGUCGCGCCUGGCCACCGAAUUGACCUCCAGUCCAGCGACCAGCAUCCACACCAACCGCGAGACGGCGCAUCCUACAGUGACAUGCGCGGAUAAGUUAGCGGACACGGCAAUCUCUGCUAUGUAGCAGAACGAGGCCAUGCUGCGGUCUUGCGGCGGGGACCGAGCACCGUGCACCGGUGUGGCGGUGCCAAGCCCGGCUCCUUGCCGCGACUGGCGUCGAGGUAGUCCUUAACGCAGCCGAGCGCGUCCUCCUGGAAAGCCUCGACCUUGAGCUGCUGCCCCUCAUCACACAGUCGCUGGCGCGGUCAGGUUAUGGAGGCAAAGGGCUACACAGCUCCACGCGCGCAGGGUGCCGACUACCGAGGGAGACCUGCUGCAGCCUGCAGGCAACAAGUAGUGCCGCCACCCCGCCGCGCGUGGGCAAGGCUGCCGCGGCGUCCCACGACGCGACCGUGAGCGGGAGCAGCGCCGGCAGCUCGGCACCGCCGGAUCCAGCACGCUGCAGUGCAGAGGUGGGGCACAACGACGGCGCUUGGCACCCUGUGUCCGAAGACACGAUGACGGCAAGCACGGAGACAACCUACUCGGGGGUGGGGGGGUGGGGGGGGGGGGGGGUGGGGGGGACGGGAGGAGUCGAGCCGCGCCGCCAGCAGGAACACGGCGCUGGCGAGGGUGGCCGACAGCUCAGCGAGCGAAGUUGGACGACCUGUGGCGCAAGAAGACCUGGAGGACGCCGCCGCGGCGGGCACCGCCUCCUGUAGGCGGAGGCACUCCGCGAGGCCGGCCGGGGUCCCCGGACUCCGGAGGCUCGAGCCCAAGAUGAAGAAGAGUUCAGACCGGAGCGAUGAGCAGCGUCAGCUAGACGAAAUCGAUGAAAUCGUCGUGCGAGACUGAGAGAGGAGUAGGGGAAUAGAAGGGCAAGAUGGACAUUUUGGCUCGCCGUGAGCUCCCGUUCCCACUGAACUGGACGGCAGUGGCACUGAGGUCUAAACAAAAUUGAACUGAUGUCACGAAGGGCGUGAGAACUUGGUGCGUAAAGAAUUGCCUCUUUACCAUAUACCUUCACCUGCUGCAUAGUGUAAUAUAAUGAACUAAUGAUCAUUUCAUUUGAUCUGCACUCUGCACUGUAGAAGCUGUUGUUUUUAGUCUAUUGUUAUUAAACCUAUAAGAGAGUCUUUCACUAUGCCAAUUUUCAAAUGUCCUAAUUAGAUAAUUGCAGAGACCGAACUACCGCCGUGCCACAUUUUCGCACUAUUCAUGCUAUUGCUGGCAAUCUUUUCAUUCAGUUCAAGCCUGCUAAAAAUGCAAACAUAUGAGUAGAGAGAGACUUGCUGCCCUUUUAAUGCAGUAUAGAGGGAAGUUUAGGCUAGAAAUUUAGAACAAAUACUUGACUACUAAUGUAGCACCAACAACAGGGAUACAAGCCUAUAGCGGGCGCGGCGGAGCGCGCCGCUCUUCCAUGAGAACAGGACAUCAGUAGUUGUACCAAAUUCUUAGCGUCUACCUAUUUGGCUAUUUGAGCACAGUUUAUCUCGUAUUCACCAAAUUGAUUUUGCGACUUUGCACACUCGCUCGCACACGCUGGCGCAGCAGCGAGCAAGCCAGCUAGCUAGUCGAGGCGGAAGAAACUGAGCCAUAGCAGCAGCAGCGGUGGACUCCUACGUAACUCGCGGAAGCUGGUUUAAGGCAUACAACUUUAAAGUCCGUUCGACCCAUCUAACAUAACCAUCACAGCCCAUCAAUCUUUCUCCAUAUAUAUUAUUCAACAUUUCCUUACACUAAUUCAACGAUCCGUAAGUCCUAUUUCAACAUUUCGAAUAUGCUAACUCAACAUUGCACGGAGAUUAGAUAUUUAUUUUUGACUUGCUCCCCCACCUCACAUAGAUUUUUCCACGUGUGAUACACGCUUCAACAUUUUCUUACAACUGAUCAACAAUUUGCAAACCCUGAUACAUCAUUUCGAAUAUACUAAUUCAACAUGUCACGGGUCAGAUAUUUAUUUAUAGUUGGCUUGAGGGAUGAGGUAUUUAUUUACGGUUGGAUUGCUCCGCCACCUUUUCUUAGCCAUACAUGUACUAUAACACGGAAACCAUGUAAAAAAAAUUGUGGAAGUUAUAUAUAGGUUUCCCGGCAGUAGUGGGCCUAGUGGCCCAUGAGAGACUGUCUUGGGCCGCUAGCGGCUCGGCCGCACGGCACGAGUUAGCCAUAGCUCUGUUCCACAUCUCCUUUUUCCUCUCAGCUGGAUCCCUGUUCAUGCUGCUGAGCUUCUUCCUCCCCGGGACGUCCACACGGUUCCGGCAUCAGUGCUGGCAGACCGCCGCCGUGGCCUUCUUCUCGGCGGCCGUGAUCACGAGGCGGCAUCCGGUGGUCUGGUCCCCGGUGAUCCGCCGCUGGUCCGGCCAGCGGAACCAGAAGCCCAAGCCGCCGCGUCCCGUCGGCUAUUGAAGGUGAAGGCUGAAGGAAGGCUGAAGGGGCGACGACUGACAAUGUUCGUGAAGGCGAUGGUGCUUGUCUGUUUGAUGAUGAGUUGACGAUCAAGUUCGUGAAGUAGUGAUGCUAUUUGUGAAAGUUGUUUUCCUGGAUGCUAACUAUUGGAUGAUUCGGUGAUCCGUGUAAUUGUUUCGUUUAAAGACAUCAGUACCACUUGUUGAUCACCAUGCUGUUGGAGUUCUUGGAGCUGUCCCCUGACUGCUCUGUUUCAGUGUUCCUUUGUGCAAAAUACGCAGGCCUGUUUGGGGCAACAAGUGACUUUCUUCCGUUCUCGAAGAUACGCAGGCCUGUUGGGGCUACAAGACUUUUUUCCGUUCUCCAAGAUACGCAGGCCUGUUUGGGCAACAGAUUUUAGUGAAACAAUAAUCUGAGCAAGCUAAUUGAACAUAACUUACUACGUUCCGACAACUCGCUUAGUAUUUGCUUGCUCUUAUUGUCGCCAAAGAUUCUUGCCAUGCCAAAAUCUGAUAUCUUUGGGUUCAUCGCUGCACCCAACAAAAUGUUGCUCGCCUGUGGAUGAUUGUCAGUCUUCUUAAUGGAGGCAAAGAAGACCUCGAGCAACCCCUUUGAUUAUCUUCAAACUCGUGGCCAAUCCAGGCAUCCAACGCUGAUUUUCUUGCACUAACUGCAAAAGAGCAACAUUUUCAUGAGCAAGAUGAACUGUUUUUCAGUGCUAAUUCAGCAGUUGUGUGAAGCUACUAGAACAUACUGAAAAGAGUAGCAUAUGCAAAUCUAAGCUAUGGCUUACUUUGUAAACGUUGCUUAAACCUCCUUCCCCAAUCGUUGAUGCUUCAGAGACGUUAUCGGUUGCGACGAGUAUCUCAUUAUAUUUAACAAAUGGGAGCUCAAGAUUUUGGACUGGCAUUUCGUGCCCAUGUUCAUCAGAAACAUUCAGAACUCGCAUGGCUCACCUCUUGCUAUCGGCGGCCCUAUAUAUUUUCUUGAGCAUUUCUUCCAUCAUGCGAGUACAACACAAGUGUAAAUUGUUGUGCAUAUACAGCACGGUUACCGCUCUAUGGAUGGAACUAGAUGGUGAAAAUAUGCUAUGACUGUAGUAUCUUUGAACUUGGGAAAACAUAUGAAAAUCCAUGUAAAAUUCCACCGCAUUUCUCCUUCUCUUCCUACCUACAAAAGGUGGAGCGGAUGCAAUAUAUCAGGUGACCGUCUUCAGUUUUCUCAGUGGAUGCUUCUUAUUAUCGAAAAGUGUUCGAAAGAUCUGCCGCGAUACGUCAGGGGUGGGCACCAAAUGAUUUCCGUAUGAUACUUGGAGCUGUCCCGUCUCAGUUAUCGGUCAUUACCCAGCACACUUGGCUCCUGACGCGCGCAGUAGAGGCGAUGAGCAUCACCAAUUCACCAUCAUGCAUGGGUACGUUGCCCAGCUUGGCAAGACAGUGCAACUGCCACCGCCUGAGAAUGGCGUAAGGCCGGCGAAACGCGCCGGCUGGGAGAGCCUUCACCGGCCGCCGACGGUGUAUGGGGCGCCGCCGUAUGCCACGGUGGGUGGUAUGAUCGACGUUCCAUUUCGUUGUGCAGCUGUGCCAACACCUGGGAUCAACGCACAGCGCACUAGUAGUGUAGUGACCGGGAAGAAAAUUCUAUGCGGCGGUGUCGCACCACGAUCCACCGGCGGUCACCGUCUACAAUGGCGCUGGCGCCCAACACCGUGCGUGGUUGCUACUCUCCGGCAGUCCGGCGCGCAUCGAUCGCCGGCCUUGUGCCGUACUGCCGUUCUUGCAGACGGCCGCCACCGCCUUGCCUUGCCAAGCCGGCAAGCCUUCGAGACGUCCACCUACUACGUCCCUCCGCGACGAGCCGACGAGCCAGCCCAUCAUUUGCGGCAGCGCGCCUCCAGGACAGGUGCAUGCAUUUUAGUUGGAUCGAUCAGCCUCGUGCAAAUUUUCAACAAAUUCCAACGACACGUCCAGCGCAAGAGGCUGUUCACUUGCACCAAAAGAAAGAGAGGGAAACAAAGAGGCUGUUCACUUGCUCUGCGAAAACAAUUGGGAGCUGUUCCUUACAUGAAUCCACCGCAUAACCGUCUCUGUCCAUCUCAGUAUCUUACUGAGAUGAUGGCAUAAAUUUAGCAAGUGUCGCGCCGCAGUAGACUAGAUACGUCAUCGAUUCAUCAUAAUAUGAGUAGCCUUGGAGUGGCAUAGAUAAGAACGACCAGAACUAGAACUGUCAGUCUCCCUUCUUAACGGUUCCUGUCAUGGUUCCGGCCGGUGCAAACCAAAUUCAAGUACGGUGUUUUUUUUUGAAAUGAACCAAGCUAAGUACGGUGUCUUGAACUUAUAGUUUACUUCCUAUGCCAAUUGAACUUUUGGACGUUACCUAGCCAACAGUGCAAUUGCAUCGACCUAAUCAUUUUUCUCGUGAGAAUACAUGCAGCAGGUUGUUGAUCCUCAGCAGUCCUCGUCAUAGUUUGGGUUCAUUUGGUAGGAUUGUGGCUGAAACGACUCUGGCUAUAGUUUCUUUGGUGGAGCAGCUUUUUUUUCUCCGACUUAUCUGGUUGGAAAAACGUUUGGCAAAACGGCUUCUCCUGGUAGUUUAAAAUUUCUUUUAUUCUCAUCUUAUCCAUUCAUCUCUGCCGGCCGGCCAUCCAUCUCUAUCCUUUAUGCUCCCGCUGACUGGCUGCCUCACCCCUGCUGCCGUCAAGCUCUCCCCCACCCGCGGCUCGUCCGCGCCGCGGUUGAGCUUCGCCCGCGACUCGUCCACGCCGCCGUCGAGUUCCCCACCCCCGAUGCGCCUACGCGCGCCGGCCUCCUCCAUGCACCCACCAGCCAACUCGCCCCUGCCUCCAUGGUCAAACUAGGGAGUUUAACCCCGGGAGCAAGAUGGAGCCGUGGGGAGCCUAUUUUUUGGGCUCCGUCUCCAUCAAUCUGCUCCAAUCACCGUAUUUUGCGGAGCUCUGAUGGUGGAGCCAUUUCUUCCCCCACCCCUUUAGCAAGGCUUCGAAAAAAACCGGUGGUGAAGCUGGUUCGGAAGUUCUGCCUAAGGGGCCUUUAUUAGAUCUCCAGUUCUCCACCUCCACUCCACGUGAAACCAGCACUACCACUUGAGCCUUUGAGAACGGAGAGAGAUCACAAAAAUGCUAAGCUGGCUGCCCACCUUGAUGGAUCGGCCGGCCUCAUCCUACGUCGCCGCCGUCCUCCUCUUCUUGCUUUUGCGGCCAUUAUUGUGUGCGUCCGACGACCGGCUUGUCCUCGGCAAGGCGCUCUCGCCUGGCACACCACUCGUCUCCGAUGGCGGCGCCUUCGCGUUGGGCUUCUUCUCCCCGCCCAACUCCGACUCAUCGUCACUGUACCUUGGCAUCUGGUACAACAACAUCCCAAAGCUCACCGUGGUGUGGGUGGCCGACCAGGCCGCCCCCAUCACCGGCGACCAUCUUUCAUCCACCCCACCGGGCACGCUCGCCCUGACCAAUGCCAGCAACCUGGUCUUGUCCGACGCCACCGGCCGAGUGCUCUGGACGACGAACGUCACCGCCGACGACGCGGUGGCCUCGCCGUCGUCGAGCUCGAGCCCUAUGGCCGUGCUUCAGAACACCGGCAACCUCGUCGUACGGUCCCCGAACGGCACCGCCUUGUGGCAGAGCUUCGAGCACCCCGGCGACGCCUACCUGCCCAACAUGAAGAUCGGGAUCGUCUACCGGACGCACUACGGCGUGCGCCUCGUCUCGUGGAAGGGCCCCGCGGACCCGUCGCCGGGGAGCUUCACCUUCGGCGCGGACCCGGACAGGCCCCUCGAGCUGGUCAUCUGGAACGGGACGCGCGUUCACUGGCGCAAUUCGCCGUGGGAGGGCUACAUGGUGGACAGCAACUACCAGAAGGGCGGCGGCAGGUCCGCCAUCUACAGGGCGGUCUACAACAGCGACGAGGAGAUAUACGCCGCCUACACCCUCUCCGACGGCGCGCCGCCCAUGCAGUACCGGCUGAGCUACUCCGGCGACCUGGAGCUGCAGAGCUGGAGCAACGACUCGUCGGCGUGGGUCACGAUCAUUAGGUACCCUACCCGCGCCUGCAGCGCCUUCGGCUACUGCGGCGCUUUCGGCUACUGCGACAACAGCACGGACGCCGCCGUGCCGGCGUGCCGCUGCGUCGAAGGGUUCGAGCCGGCGAGCGGUGCCGGCUGGAGCCGCGGUGACUUCUCGCGCGGGUGCCGCCGGAAGGAGCCCGUGCGAUGCGCCGACGGCUUCGCGGCGGUGCCGAACAUGAAGCUGCCGUAUGGGUACACGCUGGUGGCGAACCGGAGCUUGGAGGAGUGCGCGGCGGGGUGCAGCCGCGACUGCGCCUGCGUCGCGUACGCGUAUGCGAACUUGAGCACCAGCGCCACCAAGAGGGACCCCACCAGGUGCCUGGUGUGGACCGGCGAGCUGAUCGACAUGGAGAAAGUCGUCGGGACCUGGGGUGACUUCGGUGAGACGCUCUACCUCCGGCUUGCCGGCGCCGGCGCAGGUACUGAGUAUUAUUGUUCCACUAAUCCACUCCCAUGUUUUCGUGUGGUGGCGUCAGCCUCAGAAAUAGAUUUCAUCAGACGUUUAAUUUGAUGGCUAAUGCAGAAAAGGAAAUGAGCAUUGCCUUUUUUUUUUCAGGCAGGGGGGCAAGGAAAAAUGUAGUGAAAUUUGCAGUUCCGGUGCUUUUGGCAAGUGUUCUUAUACCCAUAUGCAUCUUCAUAUGUUUUCCCAAGUUCAAAGGUAAAUUAUAGAUUUCUUUAUAUCUACCAGUUCCAUUACAAUAUGCGCAACAAUUAACACUUGUGCGUUCCUCAUGAGAGAAGAAAUGCUGAAGAAAAUCAACGGGGAAAAUAGCAAGAGGCGAGCAAUGCGAGUUUUGAGUAUUUCUGAUGAACUAGGGCAUGAAAUCCCUGCCCAAGAUCUUGAGCUCCCAUUCAUGAGAUAUAAUGAUAUACUAAUUGCAACGGAUAACUUCUCUGAAGCGUCAAUGAUUGGGAAAGGAGGUUUCGGCAAAGUUUACAAAGUAGGUCACCUAGUGGUAGUUUUUUGCUGUUCACAUUCACAAGUUGCUGAAAAAAAAUUGCAUAUUGAAUUGGUUUUUUUUUUUCCUUCGAAGACUACUAACAUACGAAGAACCUCUUACAAUUCUGAAGGGAGUGUUAGGUUGUCGGGAAGUUGCUGUCAAAAGGCUUAGUAUUGGUUCCAAGCAGGGAUUAGUGGAGUUCAGAAAUGAGGUACUAUUGAUUGCCAAGCUACAGCACAGAAAUCUUGUUCGACUUAUCGGCUGUUGCAUGGAAGGAGAUGAAAAACUGUUGGUCUAUGAGUAUUUGCCCAACAAGAGCUUGGAUGCUACUCUAUUCAGUAUGUUCUAGUAUCUCUCCACAAGCUGCCCAGAUAGUGCUGAAAAACCAGUUCAUCUUGCUCAUGAAAUGUGGCUCAUGUGCAGGCAGUACAAGAAAAUCAGUGCUGGAUUGGUCCAUGCGAUUCAAGAUAAUCAAAGGAGUUGCUCGAGGACUUCUUUACCUCCAUCAAGAUUCAAGACUGACAAUCAUCCACAGAGAUCUUAAGUCGAGCAACAUUUUGCUGGAUGGAACCAUGAACCCAAAGAUAUCAGACUUCGGCAUGGCAAGAAUCUUUGGUGACAAUCAAGAACAAGCAAACACUAAGCGGGUCGUCGGAACAUAGUAAGUUCCAUUCAAUUAUUUUGAUCAAAUUAACGUUUCAUUGAACCUGUUGCAAUGACUAAUGUUUUCAACCCAUACUGGUCAAUUUAGUGGCUACAUGGCUCCUGAAUAUGCUAUGGAGGGCAUCUUUUCUGUGAAGUCUGAUGUCUAUAGCUUCGGCGUAUUGCUCUUGGAGAUUAUAAGUGGUGUUAGGAUAAGUUCCACUGAUUACAUUGAAGACUUCCCAAAUCUUAUAGUCUAUGUAAGUAUUAUUAUACUUUAUGAAUUCUACACAAGAUUUGAAAAUCUCAAAGUUGAUAUUCUAGGGAGGAGUAUAAAUGGAAACACCAAUCUCAAAGUUAAGGGGCUCAAAUGAAUCUGCAUGAUGUUUGUUACAGGCAUGGAACCUAUGGCAUGAUGGUAAGGCAGAGACUAUGAUAGAUUCAUGUGUUGUGUCAGGUUGCAUUGUGGAUGAAGCUAUGCUUUGUAUCCAUGUAGCACUACUGUGUGUUCAGGAAAACCUGAAUGAUCGGCCAACCAUGUCGUCUGUUGUGCGUAUCUUGGAUAAUGGAAGCAAGUCACUUCAGGCGCCAAAUAGGCCUGCAUAUUUUGCAGAAAGGAAUAAUGAAGCAGAGCAGACAGGAGACAGCGCCAAGAACUCUAACAACACUGUGACUCUUACAGUUCUGGAGGGACGAUAGAGCAAUCUUGGUGUGAGUCAGAUAUGAUGGCGGUGCCGGGCGAGAGCCUCUCGCCUGGGGCAAGCUUGUCAUCGGAAGUGCACAAGGCCGGCAAGAGGAGGAAGGCUGCGAUGCAGAUAGAAACGGAAUUCAUGGAGGCAGACUCGCUUUGGUGCUACGUUGUGAACGAGAAAUCUUCCUGAGAGUUGUAGUGGAGAUGCAAGUGAGCAGCUGACUACUUGGAACUUGGAAGUCUUUGGUUCGUGCGCAAUGAUGCAACACUUUUAACAUUUUCUCGUAGAUCAUAUGUAAUGGAGUUGAAUAACCUAGUACAUUAGCAGUUCAGUUGUACACAUCGAAGCAGUUGUUACUUUGCCUCUUUUUAGAGUUGUUAAUGUAGCAUUCGCUUCGCUGCCUAUUGUGUGGAUCGCCUGCCAUUUUAAAGUGUCGCUGAUGUACUCUGUCACUAAGUAUGUUGUCAGCUAUGGGUCGCUGUUGGAUCGGACUUACAGCCGCCCCCCAAGUGUGGGAUCUGAUCAUUUAAAAUGACCGCCGUCUGAUGGUAAUUGGUUUGGGUCAUCUCUGAUUAGGUUGCAGUACGAACAAAGCUUUCUGAUAAACAGACGUGACUCUAUAUGCUUUCAAGUGGGGAUUUAGUCGCAGUCGGUGUUAACACUACUGUAUUGGAUACAAACCUUAUCGGACCAAGACGAAAGAGCUGAUAUGACCGACUAUCGGUGAUAAUUAUAAUUAUAAAUUUCGGUGAUUCAAAUUUGAAAAGAGGAGGAUAUCUCUGCAGCUAAAAAAGCAAAACUGAGUAAAAAAAAUUUCGGUCCGCCAUCCAUCCUUUCGCCCGUCCGUUGCCUCCAUUCGCGUUCGCGCUGAUCGCGUACGCCGUCGAUCCGAUCGAGCCCUUCCGACGUCCCUCACCUUCCCACCACAAUCGCGCCUUCAACAGUGACCCUCCGAUCCAACCCCACGCGCCCUCCCUCAUCGCCUCACGCAGCCAUCGCCGCCGUCUCGCCUCCGCCAUCGACGCCGUCUCGCCUCCGCCAUCGACCACGCCAUCGCCUCGACCACGCGCCGCCAUCGCCUCCACCCCGCGCCAUCGUCUCCUCCAACACACGCCGCUGUCUCAUCCAACUGGGGGCUGAGGUCUCCUCCGACCCAACGCCAUCAUCUCCUACGGCCCGGCACCGAGGUCUCCUCCAAUCCGGCGCCGCCCUCUCCCCCAACCCUGUCGUCGCCGCCUGGAUCAUCUGUACGUGUCCACCCUUGCGGCCGUCCUCCGCGGCGCCGCCCGACUGCUGCCACCAUAGGUUCGGUGGCCCCUAGACGCCGAUGAAGUGGGCACUCGCCCUACAUCCCAUCCCAGCGCGGGAGCGGCCGUCGGAGAGGGAGGUCGGUUCCCUUUGUCGCUGCCGCUCAGCCUCAAUUGACUGGUAAGAGUAAAGCUUUUUCCUCAAUCAUCCUCCAGUUGUGAUUAUACACUACUACUACGGCUCAUCCUCAAUUAGUCUCCAUAUUCAUGAAUCAGAAAGCGCAAAGCGCAUAUUUGUUGGUUACUUGAUUAAAGCAUUCCUCAUCAUAGGGAAAAUGUUAAUCUAUAACCGAAGGACUGCAUUGCUCUUGAUGUGAACCUGCAUACAUUUCUAUAACUGAAGGAUUAGCUGCAGAAAAGGAUUCUCAGGUUUCUCCAUUGUAUAAAACCAGUCGCGCAGAGUAUUGCUUUUGGUGUUUGGAAAUAGAUAUAUGGAGGCUAUUCUUUUUUCUCACUAUUCUACAGAGGUUUAGAAAACCUAUUGUUGUGAACAUAAGCAUAUUCCUGUUACUGUUUAAAGUAAAUGUGCUAUUCAGAACAGUCAUGAGGUUUAGAAAAUCAACAUGUUUGGGACUUCCUUGAACGCAAAAGGAAUUAUUCAAUCUUGCAUUUUCUAACAUACAAUCCCUUCGUUCUCACCAGGAAAAAUAUCGUGCUGUCCGGUUCAACCUAAACUUGUGGUCAUCAGGCAGAAGGUUUGCAAAUGGGAGACUGAACAUCACUUUCCCUCUACUUCUUAAAUUUGAUUUAUGAUCAAACUAGCCUGAAAACACAAAAAAUGACUCAAAUAAACAGAUGACUAAUGAGGUCGGAAGGUCAUUGUUUGCUAAUGCUGGAGAACUGGGAGUGCCAGUUGGAAUAAUGGUGAUGAAGGUAAAAAAUGCAUUCCUCUAUUAGAUGUAUGUGCACUUACUAUUGGACUUUGGGAUUCCGACAGCAAGAAUAAUGUAGCAAUAUGUUCACAUCGUAAAGAGGAGAAGAAGGGCUCACAUUCGAACAAAGAUUCACAUAUUAUAUAUUGUCAGGUUGUGCAAUUCUAGAGCCAGAAGAACUGAGUAAACUAAUAGUCCAGACAAAUGCGAACUUUUAGCCCUGUUAGUUACACAAGUCACUUGUUACAUGAGCUUCAUGAAAAUCCUGUCUGCAUCUUUUUUGCAAAAUAAAAUUGUAUGAAUAGGCUCCUUGAAUAUAAAGCAACAGGGACUUAAUUAUGCUCUUUGUUACAAAGUUAGAAUUAUAUAAUUAUUCCUUGUUGUUCUUGUGUAUGCAGGGAAUUAUUCUAUAUAUUCAGGAAAUAGAUGUUGUGGACAACUUCUUUGGCAAGAAGUUCCACUGCAGGAACAAGGGCCCACCUCCUCCAGGAGAUGCUAGUUAGUUUAGAUUCAGAUUAGAGAUAGAGUUGGAAUUAGUUGGGAUUUUGUAAGCCGGCCCAUUAUAUAAGAGUCCUGAUGCUUUAGAUUAGGUUUAAGCAGAAGAUAAACCUCAGAGCUCAGAGCCUCCUAGGGAGGGCGAGCAGAUUGUUUAUCAAUCUGCUCAUCAUGUUCUUAGUCAAUCAACUAGCCAUAUCAAUAGAGGAGCUCUGUAGGGAUAUUCCUGAAACUACUGUUAUUCUUGAUCAUAUGGCUUUCUGCAAGCCACCAACGUAAACUUGUGUUUUUGCUUGUUCAUAGUCUGUGUGAAUGUAGUCAUAUGAAGCUAUAGCCUGUAGUAGCUUAUAUUGCAUUACAAUACAAGGACAACUAAGAAGAGAGGGCAUUCUCAUUAUUUCUAAACUUAUCCAGAUUCCCACAGGUAAUCUCCAAAACCUCUUUAUUUUGUCCAUUGGCAGAUCAAUGUGGUCAUGGAAAAAAACAGUUUUUAUUGUGCAAAUGAGCCUUUUUCAGUACCAGCUGACAUUAGCACCCUCAGAUUUUGUUGUCAGAGAUCCAGGGGCAGUAACACUAUUUUGUGAGGGGCAAUACCUAACCUGAUUUAUUGUCAAGUAAUGGCAUCAAGAAUAAAGUGCCAGAUUGUAGAAGUUGUGCAGUUAAUUCCAUUCCUUCUAUUUCUGUAACAUUAUACUUGCUCUAAUGCCAUGAUGCGUUACUUCAAAAGUUUAUGUCAAAUAUAGUGCUCUUUUCCGCAUCUCAAGCGAAGCAUAUCCAUAUGAAGAUACUGCUCAGCUUCUUUCCCGUGUGAUAUCUAACUAUGGAGCCAAUCGAAUAAUGUGGGAACAGUGAAUUUGCAUACCCACUGAUAGUUUCAAUUGGUCAUAGACUCUAACAGUGCCUAUGAGAAACCACUCUCAGUUAACUGAUAGCAUGCUCUGAAGUGUCGGAUUAGCAAAUUUGUCCGGUUUGCUUAAAAAAAAGAUGGUGUAGUGUAGUGUAGUGUUGCUGGUAGGAUAAUAUAUUCCGGAGGAGCUAAAUCAAGAUUUUGUGUUCCUGCAAUGAUCUGUGCCAUCACACCAACUUGCUGGAUAUGUGUUUGUUGUAAUGUUUUAGAAUAAAUAUAUUCUGCAUUAUCUUUAACUCUAACAGGCUUCUACUCUGUAGCUGUUUUGCAGAUUGCAGCAAGACUAAUGUCCAGUGUGGACAUACAGUCCAACUCUGCAAGGGAAAGUAUACUGUAUUAAGCAUCCUAUCAUUGCAAUUAUUCUAAUUUAGUUUUGCUGUGCACUAGAUUUACUUAAUCAAAACCUUAUUUUCCUUUACUACUGAGAUAUGUAACCAGAUCAUGAAGAUGCGAUACCAGAUGUACACUGACAUUGCUUUCAGCCAAGUAUUUAGUACAGGAAAUUUCCCAUGAUGAUACCCUGGCUAUUUGUGCACUGGCAAUGAUCCCUCGAUACCUUAAAGGUACUGAGAUUUCAUUUCCAAGAAUUUUUGAGUAAUGUUUGUCACAUGGGUUCCUUUUUUUAAUUGAUAAUGGAGAAAUUCAAAUGAAUUAGCUUCCUGAACUACUAGAACCAUAUUUACACCUAGUCCCAGCAAUUUCUUUAAUAUUGAUAUAUCUUCAGUAGGCAUGUGAGUGUGCAAAAUCAUUUCAAUUAUAUUAGCAGCACAUUGACUCAGAGCUAGGACUGGAAUAUUUUGUCUGCGGAAGAUGCUUCCUCUAAGCCAUAGGGAAGUAUUCAGGUGCAUCCCCUGCUCCGAUUACCCUUUCAUAAUGAACAUAUAUACAUAUGAAACUUGCAGCUGUUGGAGAUCCAGUCAUCAGCUAUUGAGGAUAGAAGAAGAUUAAGCAAUUAAAGAAGCAAGAAGAUUUUGCUAAUCACCUUCUGUUGCCUGGUUUGGUAUCUCAAUGGAACAAGCGGUUCUUCAUUUUUUUGAUUGAUGAAACUGAAGAUGCAAUCAAGUAGAGGAACAUCACACUGGACCAUGUUGUAUGUUGUACAGUAGUCAGUAGAAUAUAUGGUUCCUAAAUAGGUGUUUGGAUACGAGGUGCUAAACUUUAGCAGGAUCACAUCGGAUGUUUGGAUGCUAAUUAGGAGGACUAAAUAUGAGCUAAUUACAAAACUAAUUGCACAGAUGGAGUCUAAUUCGCGAGAUGAAUCUAUUAAGGCUAAUUAAUCCAUCAUUAGCAAAUGGUUACUGUAGCACCACAUUGUCAAAUCAUGGACUAAUUAGGUUUAAUAGAUUUGUCUCGCGAAUUAGACUCCAUCUGUGCAAUUAGUUUUGUAAUUAGACUAUGUUUAAUACUCCUAAUUAGUAUCUAAACAUCCGAUGUGACCAAUGUACAAAAUCGCGGGCUAUGGAACUUAGCGGAGGCCUUCCAAAAACGCUAUGAGUGCUAUAGCGUCCGCUAUAGCGGCGCUAAGCCAUUUAGUGGAUUGCAAAAAGACAUGGACAAGUAUUAAUCAAAUAACCAAAUGGCAAAUAUUAAUAUUUUAGUUACUAAAACAAACAAGUACACACUUCAUUCAGACAAGUAGGAGAUGGCGUGCUGCUGACCUGCCGUGUGCAGGUGCAGCUGCAGAGGAGAUGGCGUGCUGCUGACCUGCCAUCUGUAGGUGUAGCAGAGGAGAGUCCUAGGCCCAGGCACAAGCAGCCACGGAAGGAAAGUGGAGAUACACUCUCACCUCUCGGUCUCGUCUCUCAGCUCAGGCGAUUUAGACGCCGAUGGCGGUGACGAUUUUUGGAUGGGAAUGACAGAGAGGAGGCUCCGGUGCUAGGGUUCCCAAGGAGAGCAGGAGUAGCACAUAUACACGAUCGAUCUAUUGGGCCGCCGAACCAGUGCUGGAAGCCUAGAAAUCGGCCUGCCUAUGCAUUUUGGCCCGCGCCUGAAUAUUCCGUCGUAGCGGUGCUACAGGCUAUAUGCCGCUACGCCAUUUAGCGCCGCUAUUUAACGCUAUAGCGACUGCAGCGGCCAUAUCAGCAUUAUGCACCUGUAGCUUAGCAGUUGUGCCUCCAAAACGCUAUAGCCCCGCUAUAGCGGGACUAUAGCCCGCUAUUUCGUACAUUGGAUGUGACUAGUGCUAAAGUUUAGCUGGGGGUAUCCAAACACCCCUAUGUUGAUUGUAGUGACAAAAUAUGUAUAUGCAAGGUGUAUCGUAGUCCAUAUAUGCAUCUAAAGUAAAUAAUGAUCUGACUAAAGUAAUGUAAUAUUUGUUCUUAUUUUCACACUAUUAUUGUCCCGUUGGAUGCUCCCACAUAUUGCAAUAUUAAUAUUUUGUAGCCCGUAGCAACGCACGGGCAUGAUCCUAGUGUAAAGAAAAGAUUGGUAUUCAACUAAAAAAUAUCGAUAGGUGUUUUACCAUACAUUUCGAAUGAUGGUCCCACAUGGCUUUUCUUUGUUUACAAAUUUAAAUGGUACUGAAUAUUUGAACGGUUCACCAGUUUAUUGGCCCUGCCCCAGCCAAUAUUGCUGAUUACUUAUGAUGUCGAAGAUAUAUCGUUGAUUCCUAACGUUGGCGCACGUUUUUGCCCAAAUUUCAUACCACUGAUGGAAAUGGGGACCAACUAAUUCACAGGAAUUGAAAAAAAAACAAAAAUUGGUAUUUUCAGCCUUCGAAUCGGGACAUUUCCCUUGCCAGGCAACGAGAAAACCAUUGAGCUGUAGCCUAACUUAUGAAUACCAUUUCUAUAGAACCUUUAAUAAGCAUUCUAAAUACUUUAAAUAUUCAAUUUUGAGGAAAAAUGACCGAAAAAUCUCCAAAUUUAGAGAUUUUUUGUGAAGUUUGCUUUUCGAUGGAGACAAAAGAAAAAUCAUAAAUCGAAAUUGGAACCCAUGGUUCUAACGGUACGUCCUUCCUUUCAUCGAAAGGUCAGAGUCUCUUCCUUCAUGGGAAAGAUUUUCUAGGUAUUGAGGGGACAAAUAAAAUUGUCAAAAUCCAUCUUUAUCUUAAAUUAACUAUAAGUGCUAUCUAUACUAUGAGGUAUUUUUAGGACAUGAUGCGUGGGAAAAUGAGUGUACCCGUAGUUUAAGGCUGCUUAAUCAGCUGGGCACAACUUCUGAAAAACCUUGAAGUUCUCACGUUGAAAGCAUAUAGGACUGGAGCCACACCUAGCUUCUUCUUCUGUUUUCUACUGUAAAAUAAAAUGCCCGUGCUGUAAAUUUAAAUUUAUCCGCGAUGACCCAGUUCAAAACCAAUUAAGAUCAGACGGCGAUUCUUUUUAGAUGAUGAGAUCACAGCCCCCUCUGGAAGUGUAAGCUGAUGCCUGACGCUGACGGCAAUGACUGCAUUACCGGCCAUAGACAGCUCAAAUGUCACCACCAACGUUUUAUUUGUGCUGUCUAGGAAACAAUAACCAGCUUACUGUAGAUACUAGACAUCUGCAUUAUUGCCUGCAGACCAAGUCCUAGUAUAUCCUUGGGUUGUGAGGCUUGCCAUGAGCUGGAAAUUUGUCUGAUGCUCCCACAUUUUAGAGUUUGGCCGCGCAGAUGCCACAGCGACCUGUAAUUGACAACAUAUGCUCAGUGUCAGAGAGUACGUUAACAACACUUGAAAAUGGCAAUUUGGGUAUCCACAGUAAGCAACGAUGGAAGUACAGAUUUAACAAUCUGAAGGUGGCAAAGGAACAAGUGCUACGAUGUGUACAGCUCAACUGCAAUUGUAUUAUGUCAUAGUCUAUAUAUGGUUUAGUACAGCUCAAGUGCUGCAUAUUAUUAUGCGAACCAAGGCUGCAGGAGUUUAUGUUAGUCUAGUACCCAGUAGCUAGUUGCACACUCCCCUACAUCUCGACGGCCAUUUUGAGUUAGAGCUCCACUAGUUAACACUGCAGAAAGUUUUUGCAUCCAUGAGUUCCAUUUCCAUCUGGAUCGCAGCUAUCCUCCUCUUGCCAACCUUGUGCGCUUCCGAUGACCGGCUUGUCCCAGGCAAGCCGCUCUUACUUGGCUCCACCAUCACCUCUGAUGGUGGCGACUUCGCCCUGGGCUUCUUCUCCCCAUCCAAUUCCACUCCGGAGAAGGUCUACCUCGGCAUAUGGUACAACAACAUCCCUCGGCUUACCAUGGUGUGGGUUGCUAACCGGGAAGCACCGGCCAUCUCCUCCUCAGCUCCUUCGCUUGUUCUGACCAACACCUCAAAUCUUGUCUUGUCUGAUGUGAAUGGCCGUGUCCUCUGGACAACCAACACCACCACUGCUGCUGCAAGCUCCUCGCCAUCGCCAAGGUCGAAUGCUACUGGGUCGGUAGCAGUGCUUCUGAACACAGGCAACCUCAUUCUUCGGUCGCCAAACGGCACGACGCUGUGGCGGAGCUUCGACCACCCGGCAGACACUCUCCUCCCAGGCAUGAAGAUACGGAGGAGCUACAAGACAAAUGAUGGCAACCGCCUUGUUUCUUGGACUGGACCGGAGGAUCCCUCGGCGGGCGCCUUCUCCUUCAGUGGAGAGGCAGAACCGUUUGCGCAGGGCUUCAUCCGGAAUGGUUCACAACCAGUGUGGCGCAGUCCUGUAUGGACAGGCUACAUGGUCUCCAGCCAGUACUUUCAGGCGAACACCAGAAUUGGUAUCUACAUAGCAUAUGUGGACACCGUCGACGAGGUGUCCAUGGUCUUCACCGUCUCCGAUGGUGCUCCACAUGUGCGGUAUGUGAUGAGCUACUCUGGCAGGCUAGAAAUAUUCAGUUGGAACAGGGACUCAUCAAAUUGGACCAUGCUUACGGCAUGGCCGAGCCACGAGUGUAGCAGGUACGGCUACUGUGGGUUCUCUGGCUACUGUGACUACACGGAGGCUACCCCGACUUGCCAGUGCCUUGAAGGGUUCGAACCCGUGGAUGCGGGAGAAUGGAGCACCGGCAGGUUCGAGCAGGGCUGCCGGCGAAAGAAGCCACUGCGAUGUGGGGACAGUUUCUUGGCAUUGCCGGGUAUGCAGGUGCCUGACAAGUUUGUACGCAUCAGGAAGAAAGUCCUCAGUGAGUGUGAAGCGGAAUGCAGAAAUAAUUGUUCUUGUGUGGCCUACGCAUAUGCAAAUUUGAACAGCAGCAUAAUGAAGGAUGACCCGACAAGGUGCCUUGUGUGGAUUGGUGACCAGCAGCUAAUUGACACACAGAAGAUAGGUGUGACUCCCUAUAGUACUGCUGGUGCUGACAGUCAAGAGACGCUAUAUCUCCGAGUUUCAGGCAUGCCAGGUACCAUUUCAUAUCAGAAGAACUUCUAUCAGAGGCAUAAACCAAGCAGACGUGCCCCUAUAUAUCAGGGGCAUUCCCACUUGUGGCAUGGUGUCUUAUCACGUUAUCCUAACGGCCUUACCACACUAUCAUCUUAGUACCCAGGUCUCUUUCCUAAAUAUGCAGGUACAUGACACUAGUUUUCCAUGAAAAUCAAGGAGCUAUCUAUUGACCACUGGAACUAGUUCAGAGGUUUCUGUUCAUGGAAAGUUGGAAAGUUGGCAGCUGGUUUCUGUUCAUGGAAAGUUGAAAACUAGUGUCAUGGAAAGUUGGCAGCUGGUUUCUGUUCAUUUUAUCUGGCUUGUGAAGUUGGCACCAAGAUCAUGGAAAUUUUGGUUAAAACAUAGAUACUGGAAAUCAUGCACAGUAGGGCAGUGGUAACUAGCUUUAGAAUCUGCUCACACCCUAGAACCAUAUGCUGAUCAUUAUAUGACUACAUGCAUAUUGCGGUCAAUCUAUGUGUAGCAAGAAUAGAUACUGAACCGAGAUAUGAAGCUUUCAUUUCUUUCUCAGUGAUCUUAAUUUCUUGUGCAACAUCUAGUUAAGGUGUCAUGUUAAUUCUUACUGGUCAUUAUUUUAACAAAAAGGUACUACUGUGUAAUGUAAGAAUGUAGCACUAAGCGCUUGUUCGGUUGUUUGAAGACUGAAAUCUGUAGUUGCAUGAUAUUAACUUGGUGCUAUAUAAAUAUAUAUGAAUAAUUUUUGCAUUGUUUUGAAGGUGGAAGGACAAAAACAAAUACAAAUGUAGUGAAAACUAUACUACCAAUUCUAGCGGGUGUUACUGUCCUCACUUCCAUUUUACUUAUAUGGGUCUGCAAGUUCAGAGGUUUGUUUUCCAUUCUAUAUACUGAUUGCAGUUACUUAAGAACAAAUACUCACCAACUUUUGGGAGCAGGAAGGAAAAGAAAUGUGGAAAUUCACAAUAAGGUAAUGCUUGGUGGUUCUUCAGAAGAACUUCGAGAAGAAAACGCUACCCAUGAUUUUGAACUUCCAUUCCUGAAAUUUCAAGAUAUCCUUGUUGCAACAAACAAUUUUUCCAACAUAUCUAUGAUUGGACAAGGAGGUUUCGGCAAAGUCUACAAGGUAAUUAUUUACGCUAGGACUUUCUCUGCUUUUCCUAGUUUAAUUCUUGAAUCAAGCAACUGCACUACAUACCACAAUCUUACCUUUCUUUGAUAAUUACAAAGGGGACACUUGAAGAUGGUCAAGAGGUUGCAAUCAAAAGACUUAGUAGGGACUCAGACCAAGGAAUACAGGAGUUCAGAAAUGAAGUUAUUCUAAUUGCCAAACUACAACACAGAAACUUGGUUCGACUUCUUGGUUGCUGUGUUGAGGGAGAUGAAAAGCUACUGAUUUAUGAGUAUUUGCCCAAUAAAAGCUUGGAUGCUGUAAUUUUCAGUAUGUUCAGUUCAUAUUCAUUUUUCACCAGAGUUUAUAUAGAUCUGAGCAGCUAUAAAUUAUCCUCUUCAUAAACAUGACAUAUUUAUUAUUUGUAGACUGUGAACAGAAUGCAGCACUUGAUUGGCCACUAAGGUUUACGAUAAUCAAAGGAAUUGCUAGGGGGAUUCUUUACCUCCAUCAUGAUUCAAGAUUAACAAUAGUUCAUAGGGAUCUCAAAGCUAGUAAUGUGUUGCUAGAUGCAGAGAUGAGACCCAAAAUAGCAGACUUUGGUAUGGCAAGAAUCUUUGGUGACAACCAGAAAAACGCAAAUACAACACGAGUUGUUGGGACAUAGUAAGCACUACUUAUUGCUCAAACUAACAUAUGAUUGAACCAAAUUCAUCUUUAUGACCUUUGCAAAUGAACCUCACCAGUGGUUAUAUGGCUCCUGAAUAUGCAAUGGAGGGUAUUUUCUCUGUGAAGUCUGAUGUCUAUAGCUUUGGCGUGUUACUUUUGGAAGUUGUAAGUGGUAUAAAGAUAAGCUCUGUUGAUCGCAUCAUGGGUUACCCAAACCUAAUUGUCUAUGUAAGCAAAUAUGAUUACCUUUUUUUAAUUGAGGUAAAGGAUUUUGAAACUUCCGGAGUUAUACAAUCUAAAUGACUGUGAUUGUUUCAGGCAUGGAACCUUUGGAAGGAAGGGAAGGCAAAGGAUUUGGUAGACAAGUGUAUUGUGGAGAACUGCUUACUAGAUGAAGCCUCACUUUGCAUCCACAUGGGGCUCUUGUGUGUUCAGGAAGAUCCUGAUGAUAGGCCAUUCAUGUCUAAAGUUGUGUUCAACUUGGAGAAUGGAUGCACAGCGCUACCAAAGCCAAAUCAUCCUGCAUAUUUCGCGCGGAGAAAUAGUGACAUGGAGCAAUUAAGUGAAGACAUCUUAAACUCUAAGAACACAGUGACUCUUACAGCCAUAGAUGGGCGAUAAAAUAUUUCUCAUGUCAGCUGUACACCUUUUGUCAAGCUUAAUGCUGCAAUGAGAUAACUGCAUUGCUAGUAAUCUCGAUGCUAGAUUAUGUGUGGGAAACCAAACCCAGUCUGGAGUGAAAUAUGAUAAAAAGCUAUAUGAGGCUCAAAGCAUGGCAGUGAUGAAACAGAAAGUCAGAAAACAUACAUAGCACUUGUAAAACGGCAUGGCAAUUGAAACUUUUGGACUUACUCAAAAUGCUUCAGGUUUCACAAGGGCAGCCAACGCAUGGGGUUCCUUACUUCCUUAGCAUGUAUCAGGACAUAAUCAAGCAUCUUCCAGAACAACGCAUCCUUUUCCAGAGCAUAAUUAUUUACUGAAUGGGGAAAUAAUACAGCUGCAGCCUACAAAAUGAAGACAUGCCAAUAUGCCAUCAGUAUUUACAAGGCUACAAACACCACCUUUCGUAGAGUAUUUACUUGUCAAAGUAAGAUGUGAAACCUCUUGCGAGUGUCAGGGGAUGCCAUGCCACCGUUGCUUGUCGCUCCCACUGACCGAGUAGGCUGUUUGACCACUUUGACGCGGCAUCGCCGAUGCCACAGAUACCAAGCACGCCACCUUCCGCACAUCAAUUGCGCCGCACCAACAGACGGUGUUCCCGCGGAUAGGGAUAGCUAGUUAGCUACCACAAACACGAUCCUGUCCACUAUACAUGGUGGAACGUGGUGCAGCCCGCCUAGUGACACAGACACACAGUGUACCAGCCGCUGGACAGUUCAGGCAUUCUGUCGAACAGGUGGAAGGCGUUGCGCCUUGCCUGUUUGCUGGCUGAGGCUGACGCUUUUGGAUUGGACACGGCCAACAGAAGAGGCCGAAUGAGUCUGUGGAUGAGAACAUGAGGGCGGAGGGACACCCGGCGCCGUCGACGGAGAGAAUGUUGCGAGCGGCACAGCUUUGGCUGAGACUCUCUCCUGUUCUCCUCUGCCGUGUCGCCACAUUUUGACAAAAAAAAAAUUCGAUGCCUCCUUGAACCUUUGAUCAUCUCGAAAUUUUCGAUCGGUAUGGAAGCUAGGUUUUGUUCGGAGGGUACAACAAGGACGUACGCAACCAACGCACUCUACACACACUACACGCGUGCACGUCCAUACACACGUUUACGGAAAAGAUUGGGAGACAUAAACCUCUAAUGCACGGGAAACGUGCAGUACCACUUACGUGCACGCGUGUGUACCUAGUGAACUCAGGAAUAAUCCUGAGCGAAACUGAGGAAAAACCCUGGUGAAGCACCUAGGUCCGAUCCCAGGGAUCGAACCCGGGCGGGUUGGGUGAACACCCUCGCCAGCAGCCACCUGAGCUAAGCUUGGUCUUCGGUAUGGAAGCUAGGUGUGAUCUACGACGUCAAACGCGCGGCGGUUUGUUUGCCUCAAUUACCCUACCAGUUUUCUCUUGUUGCUUAUCUGCAAUGUGUGGCCUCACCCACGCGUUAGUGGCAGUUAAACAACCCAGAAGCCCACUUGUCUAACCGAGCUCCAAUUCGUGCGGCAACACCCAGGUCAAAGGUCCAAAUCCGUGGUCAACUUGCAUUCGGAGUUAGAGUUUGUUUGGCAGGACUUUGACUCCUGUAAAAAAUAGCUCCGGCUGUGACUCCUCAUGUCCACUCCUCGCUAGAAGGAGCCGCUGAAGGAGCCCUACCAGGCCUUAGUAUGGACUCAUGUCCGCUAGUCAACGAGGAUUUCCCCGUGUUCAAACGCUAGGUCACCGCAGUCUAAUCCGGAUAGAGGCGAGGCAUCAGCACCAACAAGGACUUCUGCCUGGGGCCCAUUUUCUUGUCAGCGUGUUCUAUGUAAAAAGCUCAAACUCACGUACUGAUGCUCCAGUCCAUCUAUGGAAUUCUAGCGCCGGUGGUUCACGACGCCUCGAGGGCUACUUUUUCUCAAGAAAGGAAACAACUUUUGGUCUCAACUAGUCUAAUAUAGUACAUAUAGUACACACAUCAAACACAUACACAAUAAUAUCGAUGAAGUCACUCCAAGGAGGUUUCCUCCGCAGUGUUUUGGUGACGUUGCGAUGACUGUCUGGCCGGUGAUCCUGCACAAAUGCAAGAAAUUGAUGUUAAAUGCUCGGGUAGAUUUUGGUUUUACCAGGCGAGGUAUCAUGCUACUGCACUAUUAGUUUGUAGGAAGCUGCAACGCAGUUUACUCGUUGCAAAGUUUGACCAAGUAGAUUCUACAGACGGCCGGCCUAAUUAAAUUCGUUGAUGGCGGGAAUGCAUUAGUAAAUUUUGAUUGAAGGUGGCAUUGUGGUUUCGGACGACGACCUCAUCUCCACACUUCUUCUGGAUGCAUGCACCCAUAAGGCCAAGGUAAAACGACAACUUUCUCUAAGAAAAUAACACCACGUACGGUGGUAACAACCCUUUUCGAGGUGUACAUCUCAACUACGACCAACAUAUUUUGACUAGAAUGUUUGAAUUCACUAUAGUCUACGAGAAACCUGGAAAUUUUGCAUUCUUUCGUGCACACCAAGCGCGCAGGAGCUUGCUAUAUAUACUAUAACAAGUAGUCGCUUGCGCUCCUACCAACUCUAGCGCUUUGAUGGAUAGGACUAGCAAACUCACUCAGAGAGCCAGAGACACCGCAGCAAGUCCAAUGGCAUUCGUGAGUUCCAUUUCGGUUUGCACCAUGGCUCUCCUCCUCUUGGCGGCCCUGUGUGCUAAUUCGGAUGACCGGCUUGUCCCAGGCAAGCCGCUCUUGCCCGGCACCACCAUCGUAUCUGAUGGCGGUGACUUCGCCUUUGGCUUCUUCUCCCCAUCCAAUUCCACUCCGGAGAAGCUAUACCUUGGCAUAUGGUACAACAAGAUCCCCCGGCUCACCGUGGUGUGGGUUGCUAAUCGGGCAACACCGGCCAUCUCCUCCUCAGCUCCUUCUCUUGUUCUGACCAACACCUCUCAUCUUGUCUUGUCCGAUGUCAAAGGCCGUGUUCUCUGGACAACCAAAGCCACCAAAGCUGCAAGCUCCUCAAAAUUGCUGAAACUGAGUACUACCGGAUCAGCGGCGGUGCUUAUGAAUACAGGCAAUCUCAUCCUCCGUUCACCGAACGGCACAAUGCUGUGGCAAAGCUUCGACCAUCCGACUGACACUCUCCUCCCGGGUAUGAAGAUAUGGAGGAGCUACAAGACUGAUGAUGGCAACCGCCUUGUUUCUUGGAAAAGCCCAGAGGACCCCUCGCCAGGCACCUUCUCCUACAGUGGAGAGACAAAAUUAUUUCCGCAGAUCUUCAUCUGGAACGGUUCGCACCCAGUAUGGCGUAGCCAAGUAUGGACAGGGUACACGAUCACUAGUCAGUACUACCAGCUGAACACUAGCAUUGUGGUAUACCUAGCAUUUGUUGAUACUGUCGAUAAGAUAUCCAUGGUCUUCACCGUGUCUGAUGGUGCACUACCCAUGCGGAUUGUGAUGGGUUACUCUGGCAGGUUAGAAUCACGAGUUUGGAAUAAUAGAGUUUCAUCAGAGUGGGCAAUGCUUGGAAUGUCGCGGCCGGACUAUGAGUGUAGCAGGUACGGCUACUGCGGGCUCUCCGGUUACUGCGACUAUACAGAUGCUACCCCAACUUGCAAGUGCCUUGAUGGGUUCCAGCCCGUGGACAAGGAAGAAUGGAGCAAUGCCAGAUUCUCGCAGGGAUGCCAGCGAAAGGAGCCCCUUCGAUGUAGUGAUGGUUUCUUGGCGCUGCCAGACAUGAAGGUGCCUGACAACUUUGUGCGCAUUGGGAGAAAGACCUUCAAGGAAUGCGCGGCUGAGUGCAGUGGCAAUUGCUCUUGUGUGGCGUACGCUUAUGCGAGUUUGAAUGGCAGCACAUCAAAUGGCGAUGCGACGAGGUGCCUUUUGUGGAUUGGUGAUCAUCAGCUUGUUGACACGCAGAAGAUGAUGGCAGUACAUCCCUAUAGCACUGCUGGUGCCGAGAGUCAAGAGACGCUGUAUCUCCGAGUUGCAGGCAUGUCAGGUACCAUUUCAUAUCCCAUCUUAGCACUGAGGUCUAUUGCCCAAACUAUACAAUAACAUAAUAACACCACUAGUUAGUUUUCCAUGAAAAUCAAGGAGAAAUAUAUCUGUAGUCCACCGGAACUUGACUGUUCCAUUUAUCUGGUAUGUAAAAUAAGACCUACGAUCAUGCAUGACAACACGUAAUAGGACAGUGUGGCAACUAAUUUGGAGUCUGCUCACAUCCUUGAACCGUAAGCUGAUCACAAGGUAUGGCUACAUGCAUAUUAUUGGAGUCAAAUAUAUAUUGAAUAUAUACUGAACUGAGAUUCAUAAUAGUUUCUCGUACAACAUCAAGUUUAUGGAGUGUUCUUAAUUCCUAGGCCGUUAUUUAAUGAAAAAGGUACUAUUGUGUGUAAUGCAAGACCAUAGCACUUGUUCGCCUGUCUGAAGAUUGAACUCUGCAGUUUUAUGAUAUUUUUUUUUGAACGGAACGGCAAGAGAUUUGCUGUAAUUUUUAUUAGAAGAAGGGAAUAAAACACAAAGCCCAAAAAGCAAAAAGAAAAUACGCGACUCGGCAUGCCCUCACCCGAGACGACUCAACAGCACUAGAGCCGGCACAAAAACUAAAAACUAUAUGAAAAAGUUUUUGCACUGAUUUGCAGGUAAAAGGACAAAAAGGAACACACUAAAAGUUGCGCUACAAAUUUUAGCAGGUGCCGUUGUUCUCACUUCCAUUUUACUUAUAUGGGUCUGCAAGUUCAGAGGUAUGUUUUCUUCCAUAUGCUAAUUACUAAUCACAGUUACUCAGGAACAAGCUCUUAACAAGCUCUUAACAACUUUUGGGAGCAGGAAGGAAAACAAAUACGGAAAAUCACAAGAAGCUAAUGCACGGAGGUUUUACUACUUCAGAUGAACUUGGAGAAGAAAAAACUACCAAUGAUUUUGAACUUCCAUUUCUGAAAUUCCAAGAUAUUCUUGUCACAACAAACAAUUUCUCCAGUACAUCUAUGAUUGGACAAGGAGGUUUCGGAAAAGUUUACAAGGUAAUUUACGAUGGAGGUUUCCUUUCUUUGCUUUUCCUAGACUCAUUAUCUAAUUAAAUAACCUGCAGAACAUAUCACAAUCUUACUUUUCUAUGUUAAUCACAAAGGGGGCAUUAGAAGGUGGUCAAGAGGUUGCUAUCAAAAGACUUAGUAGGGACUCUGAUCAAGGAAUUCAGGAGUUCAGAAAUGAAGUUGUUCUAAUUGCUAAGCUACAACACAGAAACUUGGUUCGACUUCUUGGUUGCUGCGUUGAGGGAGAUGAAAAGCUGUUGAUUUAUGAGUACCUACCUAAUAAAAGCUUGGAUGCUAUCAUUUUCAGUAUGUUCUGCUGAACAGAAGUUCAAUGUGCGAUUGAAUAAUUAUAUAAUUUCAUUUUCAUAGACACAUGAUUGUUCAUUGUAGAUCGCGCAAGAAACGCACCACUUGAUUGGCCAAUAAGGUUCAAGAUAAUCAAAGGAGUUGCAAGGGGACUUUUAUACCUCCAUAAUGAUUCAAGAUUGACAAUAGUUCAUAGGGAUCUCAAAGCUAGUAAUGUGUUACUAGAUGCAGAGAUGAGACCCAAGAUAGCUGACUUUGGUAUGGCAAGGAUCUUUGGUGAUAAUCAAGAAAAUGCUAAUACCAAGCGAGUUGUUGGGACAUAGUGAGUAGUAUUUAAUUCCCAAAUACUCAAAUUGCAUAUGAUUGAACCCAAAUCAUCUUCAUAAUUUUGCUAACGAAAUGAUCUUAAUAGUGGUUAUAUGGCUCCGGAGUAUGCAAUGGAGGGCAUUUUCUCUGCAAAGUCUGAUGUCUAUAGCUUUGGUGUCCUACUUUUGGAGGUUGUGAGUGGUAUAAAGAUAAGCUCUGUUGAUCGUGUCCCAGGAUACCCAAACCUAAUAGUCUAUGUAAGCAAAUAUGGUUAGGUUUUAGUUUCUUCAUAUUAAAUGGUUUAAACUGUUCUAUUACACAAUCUAAUUUGUGUGAUGUGACUGUUUCAGGCGUGGAACCUUUGGAAGGAAGGGAAAGCAAAAGAUCUGGUAGACAAAUGUAUUGUUGAGAACUGUUUACUAGAUGAGGCUUCACUUUGCAUCCACAUGGGGCUCUUGUGUGUGCAGGAAAAUCCUGAUGAUAGGCCAUUGACGUCUUCUGUUGUGUUCAACUUGGAGAAUAGAUCCACAACACUACCAACGCCAAAUCACCCUGCAUAUUUUGUACAGAGAAAUAGUGAUAUGGAGCAAAUGAGAGAAGACAUUGUGAACUCUAAGAACACAAUGUCUCUUACAGUCAUGGAGGGGAGAUAGAGUAACUCUAAAAAGUAGUUUGGAGUUUGGAUUGGAAUGUGUAACAUAGUGACUUGAAACUUGGAUGUUAUUAAUCGAUUUUUUUCUAACUUUUGAAUCAAAAGCUGCAUAUCCAAAAUUUUGAAGUGAGAAGAAAAAGUAUGACUGUAGGAGCAAAUCUUCAGCUAGCAAAUCAAAUCACAAGAGUAAAGUUGUAUUUGCAAGAGUAAAUCAUCAUGUCAUAGUUCCCUAACUCGCACGGUGUGACAUUAAGCUUCCUAAAAUUGCAUCUAGGGAGUUAACAAAGUAAAAAUGCUAGUUUAGGGAGAGCUAUAUGCGAUAGUGCACAAAUUCAGGAAACUGCAACGCAACUUACUCAUUGGAAAGUUUCACUACGUAGAUUCUACAGCAGCCUAAAUUCAUUGAUGGCAGGAAUACAUUAGUAAUUUUAACUGAAGGCGGCAAUAUGGUUUAGCAUGACCUACAUUCUUCUGUAAUCUAUAGACGAAGUACUACAUCUUCACAAUUCUAGAUGCACCCAUGACGAGUGUAACAAGUCUUCACUAAAUGACAAGGUAACAACUCCUUCGAUGUGUACAUCUCAACUACCAACAUAUUUUGACUAGAAUGUUUGAAUUGAUUAUAGUCUAUUUGAAAUCUGGAAUUUUUGCAUUGUUGCGUGCAUAUCAAGUGUGUAGAGCUUACUUAUACAUACUGUUAGGAGUAAACCUAGGAUCUCUAGAUGUAGAAUUAGUCGGGAUUACGGGUAAACAUUGAGUUCAUGGGGUUCCAGUGUUAACCGAGAGGGAGAGAGAGAGAGAUGGGGUACCUUCACCCCUAGGGGUGGAAGCGGCAGAGCCGCCGGCCAUCGCUGGUUCUGUCGGUGAAGAUCUGCGCUAGGCAGCGACGCGCAGUGCCGUGGUUCGGUCGGUGAAGCUCUGCGCUAGGCAGCGAUGCGCAGUGUCAUAUUGUGUCGCCGGCGUGGCGGCGGUGGUGCUUCCAGUCACUGCUACGCCCCCAUGAUCGAUCGGUCUAGGAUUUUGUCAGUGGGGUGGAUGGCGGCGCGGUGAACCUCGUACCGUGCGCUCCGGCUCCCACCUCUGUUUUUAUAGCGCAGGUGACAGGGGCCCACCACCUAAUGCUAGGGUGGGCGCCCCCGAUCAGGGCGCGAGUCAAGGGCUCAAUGGGCCGUGGACCCAUUAGAGAGGAGAUCAAUCUAACACGUACUACCAAGUAGUAGCUUGUGCGCGUACCUUUUCUGUCUCUCUGAGUUUGGUGGCACUCAUGAGUUCCAUUUUGUUUUGUACCGUGGCUCUCCUCUUGCCGGCCUUUUGUGCUUCCGAUGACCGGCUUGUCCCAGGCAAGCCCCUUCUUCCCGGCACGACCAUCAAAUCUGGUGGUGGUAACUUCGCCUUUGGCUUCUUCUCCCUGUCCAAUUCCACUUCAGGAAAGCUAUACCUUGGCAUAUGGUACAACAAGAUCCCCCAGCUCACCGUGGUGUGGGUUGCUAAUCGGGCAACACCGGCCAUCUCCUCCUCAGGUCCUUCCCUUGUUCUGACCAACACCUCUGAUCCUAUCUUGUCCAAUGUUAUCGGCCGUGUUCUCUGGACAAUCAACACCAACACUGCUGCAGGCUCCUCACCAUCACUGAGAUCGAAUACUACUGGAUCGGUGGCGGUGCUUAUGAACAUAGGCAAUCUCAUCCUACGGUCACCUAGUGGCAUGGUGUUAUUCUCACAUCCUGAAAUUUUUGGAUUUCAGGAUGUGAUUAAAAAGAAUAAUUAAACAAUAAUUUUCUCAUAAUUUUAAAUUUUUUUCAACAUUUAUUUCCUUGUCAGGAAAUGUAGUAUAGGAAAAAUAAUUGGUGGUUUUUCUAAAUUAAAUAGUGUUGUUCUGUGUGUGUUGCAUUCAUACCGAUGCAUCUUGGUGUUUAUAGAGUGUAAAUGUUUUAAAAUGCAUUUAGACGACGACCAGAUUCUUCUGAGAAUUUUUUAGCUUUUUCUAAAAUUUAUUCUCAUUUUCCUAGGACCAAAUCUAUUUAUCAGAAGGCUCUACAAUCUUUUUCACGAGCUCCAAAUAUUAUAUUUGGACUCCUCGUGUCCCAGAAUUUUCAGACUAUUUUUCAUGGUUUAAAUGAUUUAUCUAGAAUUUUUUGAAUUUUUCUUUCACAAGAAAUUAUUUCUAAAAAUAAGCUAACUUCUCUAUCCUAUCGGGCCAAGCCCGUGGGCCCAACCCGCUCCGUUUCAGCUGCAAGCCUGCCCGACCCACUUGGGCCCAGCAGCCGCCGCAAUCUGCUGGCGUCCGCAGCGCCGCCGCCCUCGUUCCGCAGCCCAAUAAAGGGCGACGCCUCCUCCCCUGCGCGCCCAGCGACUACUCCCAUCGCCCGCCACCCUUCCUCGCAUGAGCAGCACCGCCGCCGCCCGAGCCGGAGUAGAGCCGAGCGCCGCCGAAGCUCGCCCGGUGUAUUCGCCACCUCCUUUGCCCACCAGACGAAGCUGGUGACUCUAGGAGCUCCAGGAGCUUCGGGACAUCGCCCCGCGCACCCGCCACCGUUCACCAUCCUCAUCUCGUCGCCGAAGAAGCUCGUCCACUUGAAGACCGGAGCCGCCGCCAUUUCCCGUCCGCCUUCGGUCAAAUUCUGGACGGAGCACCGUAUCCCGCCCAUCGGUGAGCACCCCUACAAGCUCCCCUCUACCUCCUCUACCCCUGCGCCACCUCGCUUGAGUCCCUAGCCGCCGGAGCGCCAGCAAGCCGAGGUUCCUGAGCUCCAUCCGCCAUAGACUCAAGCUUUUGUGAUUUGGCCCCUAGAAGAUCCUGUAAUCUUUAAUAGUCUUCCUGUGUCUUGACCAAUCCUCAGAAAACCCCCUACAUCUUUGGGAUCCUUGCAACCAAGUCCAACCCGAGCACUUUAACAAUCUAACCCCACCCUUUUCAGCCUUUUGCGAGCACUAUUUAUAAUGUCUUGUAAAACAUCUCAGCUAGCCCUCCAGAGCUCGCCCUCUCCAUCAUCCCCUCGCCGACCGGCUACUGGAGGAGCACGUUGCCGUCGUUGAGGCCCCCGACGGGUACGUCGGCGUGUUCGCGCAUGACUUCCACCACCCCGGCGGCAAAGCCGAUCUCCACUACUACACGAUCGUGCAGGACGCCGACGGGCCGUGGUGGUGGCUGGAGAACACGAUCCCGCUGUCGUGGCUGGCGGCGUACCACCGGCCGUUCUGCCUCCGGGGCACGGCCAACCGCCAACGGGUGCUUAAUCCUCGAGGUCAGCGAGGAGAAGCCGGCGUUCAUGGCGAGCUACCGCGUCAGGGACGCCGAGCUGUUCAAAAUCGACGUCAAAAGCUUCCAGCUGGAGAAGAUCUGCCAGGCACAGUGCGCCGGGUAGUGUUGCUGGCAGUACUUCGGCUUCCCGCCAUCGCUGUCCGCGCCCAGUGUAUGAGCAGCAUGGUGAUAUCGCUGAACAAAAUUAUUUUCCAGCUGGCUGCUCAUAGAGUUAGAGCCUUGAGUUUGUCUGGCAUAUAUAUAAUAAUGAUACAAGCAACAAUUUGUACUGAUCCAGUCUGUUCACAAUCCCAAUGCAUACAUACAGAUACAUCUUACAGGUACAAAGCAAAACAACAAUCUCAACAUUAUUCAGCUGUACAAACCCCACAAGCAGGGGUAAACAUUGCCCAAAACUUAUAGGUUACAGUCACAUCCAUGUCACUUGCUGUUUAUUAAGUUCCUCUUGCAUACUCUGUCUCAUUGCCAUGGAUUCUUAUUUCCACCAGUACUGCAGCUCCUAGCUUGCUGUUUAUUCAGAUCCUUUUGUAUACUCUGUCCCAUUGCCAUGGCCUCUUACUUCCACCGGUACCAUACCAGUGCGCUAAUACAGCAUCGCACCUUACACACAAACGAUGGCAACUUGUAAGAGGCAAAAGGAACCACGAAGAGCGACCGAGCCGGGUGCUCCUAGAUUGCUCUGUGUUUCUAUAUCUUCCACACCAUGUUCAUCGUUCUCUUUGUUCUCUUAAAGGACUGCUCGAGGUCAGCUAACCACAAGAUUUACCACAGCCUAACAAAGGAAGAGGAUGACCCAGUGCCUCGAAAAGACGGUCCAGGGUCUGCUGAGGAUGGUUCAUUGACUCCAGAACUAUUUCCAUAUGAUGAUGCAGUCGAGCUCACCAAGUCUGUUACAGCAGGUGCAAAACUCUCCACAAACAUGCCACAAGAUAUUAAAGUCUCGCCAGAAGGCAUGUUGAUGUACGAAACUGUACAAUCCUGAAGAUCUACGCAAAUGAGUCUGUUUUGGUUGCCAAAGAAGAUCUAGGUGCUUAUGAGAAGGUGGACAUGCUAGAAACAAUACUGGGAUUUUUUACCAAGCUUGAAGAAAACGGGAUUGCAAUUGGCCAAGAGCCCUCUCAGUUGCUUGUUGUGUGGUUCUGAAGGCUUGGUGUAGUUCAUGAAGUCGAACAGGUUCUGAAGGAGCUCUUAGAAGACAUGAAGACCAAGCAAACAGUUGCAGUAUCGGUGGAACAGAGGUUAUAUAGCACUAUGACACAUGAAUCGGGAAUAAGAAGAUAAUUAUUUUAGAGAGGGUAAAUACCCGUAGCAACGCACGGGCAAUUCUACUAGUAUAUAUACUAAUUGUGGUUACUAAAUGAAAACCUACUCACCAAUUUUCGGGUGCAGGAAGAAAAAUAAAUGCAGAAAACCACAAGAAGCUAAUGUAUAGGGGUUUAACAACUUCAGAAGAACUUCUAGAAGAAAACACUGCCCAUGAUUUUGAGCUUCCAUUUCUCAAAUUCCAAGAUAUUCUUGUCGCCACAAACAAUUUUUCCAAUAGAUUUAUGAUUGGGAAAGGAGGUUUUGGCAAAGUUUAUAAGGUAAUUAUUUAUGGAAGGUAUCUUUCUUUGCAUGUUCCAGUUUGAUUAUUCAAUCAAGUAUCUGCAUUACAUAUCACAACCUUACUUUUUUAAUAAUUACAAAGGUGACACUAGAAGGUGGUCAAGAGGUUGCUAUCAAAAGACUUAGUAGGGACUUGGACCAAGGAAUACAGGAGUUUAGAAAUGAAGUUGUUCUAAUUGCCAAACUACAACACAGAAACUUGGUUCGACUACUUGGGUGCUGUGUUGAGGGAGAUGAAAGGCUGCUAAAUUUAUGAGUACUUGCCCAAUAAAAGUUUGGAUAUUGUCCUUUUCAGUAUGUUCAAUUCAUACACUAAAUAGUUGAGGAGUUAUAUAUUUUCAUUUUUCAUAUACAUGACAUAUUUACCUUGUAGGUUGUGAAAGAAAUGCACCGCUUGAUUGGUGACAACCAGAAAAAUACAAAUACAAGACGAGUUGUUGGGACAUAGUAAAUACUAUUAAUCACAAGUUAAUAUGAAUAUAUAUGACUGUACCAAAUUCAUAUUUGUAAUUUUUGCAAAUGAAAUGUCUUUACCAGUGGUUACAUGGCUCCUGAGUAUGCAAUGGAGGGCAUUUUCUCCGUGAAGUUUGAUGUCUAUAGCUUUGGCGUGUUACUAUUGGAGGUUGUAAGUGGUAUAAAAAUAAGCUCUGUUGAUCGCAUCCCAAAUUACCCAAACCUAAUAGUCUAUGUAAGCAAAUAUUACUACUUCACAGAUUAAGGGUUUUAAAUGUUUAGUCUUAUACGAUCUCAGUGAGUGACAUGAUUGUUACAGGCGUGGAAUCUCUGGAAGGAGGGGAAGACAAGGGAUUUGGUCGACUUAUGUAUUGUUGAGAAUUGCUUACUAGAUGAAGCUUCACUUUGCAUCCAUAUGGGGCUUUUGUGUGUACAGUAAAAUCCUGAAGAUAGGCCAUUCAUGUCUUCAGUUGUGUUCAAUUUGGAGAAUGGAUGCACAACACUACCAGCGCCAAACCACCCUGCAUAUUUUGCACAAAGAAAUUGUGAUAUAGAGCAAAUGAGACAAGAUAUUAUUAACUCUAAGAACACAAUGACUAUUACAGUCAUAGAGGGAAGAUAGAUUAACUCAAAUUUUUAGUCAUAAAAUAUUUUCUAGGAUAAUUUUGUGAACAUAUUUUAGCUUUUAGUAUUAAUCUGGAAAUACAAUAUGCGGCUACCUUAUUGCUACUAGUAUAGUGCAAACGCUUUGUUUUGAAAACCAAAAGUAGCCUGGACGAAAUAAUCUUAAACGGAUAUAUGAAGCUCAAAACAUCCGAUUGGGAUGAUGCUCAUACGGAAAAGCAUAAGGUUUGUAAAACAGAACCUCUACCUAGUAUGGGGGCAGCCGGGCAGGGGAAAGGAUAUGAUAUUUGGGUAUCCAUUUUCACCCAACUUUUUUUUGGGGCUCUCGACAUCUUUGGAAGGUCAGGAUCAUACUGCUGUGCUCGUGUUUACAAUUGUAGCACCAUGUAUACACACUCUGUCUAUAGCAUAUAGUAGGGUGACUUGCAUCAAAUUAACGUACGUUUACUUAAACGUGGUACGUGUAGUUGGGUUUGGCCAGAAAGUCCACUGGCGGUUUUUUAGAUAGAGAAAAAAACAUUACAGCCUUCACACUCACGCGUGAGUGCAUAUAGCCAAUCGUUAGAAAUCAAGUAGUAGUACUUAGACUAGCUACAAAAUGCCACAUAAUAAAAAUGGUUCUAAACAAAGUAGAAAGAAGUGAAGGCUAGCUGAGGCUUAAUCCUAUUACUAAAUUUAAUUUUCUUCCUUUGCUUAUCUGUAAUGUGCGAGCCCUAUGCUUCACUGACAAGAUGAAAGUACGUCCGACUAGGCAAAACAACAACACGGUCUAUAGCUCACUUGUCUAAUCGGGGGCUCCAACUGGCGCCCAGGACAAAAGCCCAAAAUAAUCCGUCACCAAGCUCCUCCAGUGUCGUGUCACCAACUCUUCUUCAUGCGGUAAUCUCCGGUUAUUAUACUUGCCACCUUGCAUUGGGAGUUUUGGAUCAUGAGCUCGUCCGUAUAUAUGGACUCAUGCUGUGAUCAUGUCCGCUUGAAUCAACGAGGAUUUCCCCGUGCCGGCCGCCGUUCCCCCAACGACUACGUCGUCGUCGCCGCAGCCUAAUCCGGAUAGAGGCGAGGCAUCAGCAGCACCAACAGGGACUUCUGCCUGGGUCCAUUUUCUUGUCAGCGUGUUCUACGUAGAAGCUCAAACUCACCUACUGAUGCUUCAGUCCAUGUAUGGAAUUCUAGCGCCGGUGGCUCGUGACGCCUCGAAGGCUACAUUUCUUAACAAAGGAAAGAAGUCUCCUUUUGGUCUCAAGUAGCCCAAUAUAAAAGUAUUCUUUUGAUGAUCUGGACAUUUGCACUUCACACACAUACAAAAAUAUCGGUGAACAAGUCAUUCCAAGGGAGUGUUGUGGGGACGUUCUGCCCAAAUGGCAGAGAAAUCGUCCAUAUAUGCUGGUGAAAGAAAAUGUUGUGGCAAAAAAAAAAUUGUUUGCUCACUGCGAGAGCCUCACAAGAAAGAUAUUCAAGCUUAGGGAAAAACAGGACAGGAGGAGAGAAACGCAAUAUGUGUGGGAGUGUAAGUAUCAGGAGCGCCUUUCUCGAAGAACCCGGAUGGGUAUUUAUACUGUUUCCAGCGAUGGAUUAUUGCCACCUUGCAUUAUUAUGAGUACUAGUCUAUCAACCCGUGCUCCCGCACGGGCUAAUAUUUUUUUAGAAACUAUUAUAUUUAAAAAUUAUUUAGAAAUUAAACUUCUAGCUAAUAAUCAAAAUUGUUUACCUACUGCUAACUUAUUUUUCAAUACUUCAACAUAAUACUUAUAUAGAUAUGUAUCUAUCUUUGUCCAGUUGUGAUUGAUUUUUAAUUAAUAAUUACUCAAUGCACUUUUUCAUCCAUAUUCAUAUUUUUUCAUUUUGUAUCACACCUCCAAUCCUCCAUACAUUAUGUUUAGCAUACAAAUCAAUAUUUUUCAUCGAUUCCUCACAUACAUGUAUAAAUAGUCUAAAUGGUGGCACUCAUCAUGUGUAUAUACUUUAACUUAGUAUUUUUAUAUUAACAAUGAUAUAAAUACGUAAUUUAAAAUCAUAUAUUAAUUUACCUUUUAACAUUUCUGUAUGAUGCACAUGAAGAUAAUUAGAUUAAGAUUUAAAUGUUUACUUUAGGUUAUUUUUAAUAACGACAUACGUGGAUAACAUAGAUAAAAUUUUAGAAUGACAUUUUAAGUUAUGCUUUAUAAUGAUGUGUAUUAGUAAAUUGGAUUAAGGUUAUGGGGUUACUUUAGAUUAUUUUUUAUAAUAGCUUAGCUCGCUAAUUGAAAAAUAGGUUUAGAGCUCAUUUUUGAAUAUUUUCACAAUAAUAGUGGUGGGUAAUGUUUUAGAAAAUAUAAUAGAUCAAUGGCUAUGAUUAUUAGAGUUUACAGGAUUGAUGUUUGACGUUUUUAAUUUUUAUGAGAAUUUGUCUCAUGGGAACUAAUGUGAAGCCUCCAAUGGAAAAAAAUGAGACUACAUUGCUAAAAAACUAUUACCAUAAGCUAGCUCUUGUUUGUUAAAUAUUCGAACACACAAUGCUUAUGUAGAUAUAUACUUAAUAUCUUCAUCCAAUCGUGAUAAAUUUUAGUUAGCAACUACUCUAUAAUAUUUUCAUCCACAUUUAUAAUCUUUAACUUUUCACUUUGCAUCGCAGGUAUGCGCUUGAAUUUGUUUAAUGAACCUUAAGUUUAAGAUACAAUUUUAGCAUAGGAAUCUAUAUUCUCAUCACUUUAUAUCCUUAUAAAUGGUGACACACAUCAUGCGUAUAGACCUUAAUUAUUAUAUCGUAUACCAAUAGUGCAAGAUAUAGACGAUUUAGAAUCAUAUAUUGCUGUAUAUUUUUAAUUAAGGUUAUAUGAUUCAAACGUAGAGUUACCUCAUGUUAUUUUUAAUAAUAGCAUGUGUGGGUAAUAUAGAUGCAAAUUUUAAGGGAUUUAAAUUUUUUAAGUAAUAGUGGUAGGCAAUUCAGUUGCAAAUUAGGGGGUUAUUUUAAAUAUUGUUUAUAAUGGUAUAAGUGGGUAAUUUUGAUGAAGAUUAGGGGGUUACUUUAGUUUAUUUUAUAUAAUGGCAGAGGUGGGUAAUUUAUAUAUAGAUUUAGGGGGUUACUUUAGACUAUUUUCAUAAUGGUAUAGGUGGGUAAUUUUUUAGAAAACAUAAUAGAUCCAAUGGCUACGAUGAUUUGAAUAUAUCGAUUAAUGGUCAGAUGUUUUGCUUUUUUGUGAGAAUUUUUAGGAUUUCUCUUUUUUUCUAGAGUAUCCACCUAGGAAUCCUAGAUGGCUUCACCUGGAGGUUUCAAAAGGAACCUCCAAUUAGUAAUAGUAAGAUAGAGACGUAAUGCUACUGCACGAAUUUAGGAAGCUACAAUGCAACUUACUCGCUGGAAAGUUUGACCACGCAAAUUCUACUGCGGCCUAAAUUCGUUGAUGGCGAGAAUACAUUAGUAAACUCUGAUUGAAGGUGAACAAUGUGGUUUCGGGCGACCUACAUCCUUAUAUAGGCAAAGCACAUACUAAUUCUAGAAGCAUGCACUCUUAACGUCAAGGUAAAACAAUCCUUUUCUCCAAGAAAAAUAACACCACGGUAACAACCCUAUCGAUCGAGGUGCGUACAACUCUCAACUACGACUAACAGAUUCUGACUAGAAUGUUUGAACUCGUUUUAGCUAGCGUACAUCAGAAACCUGGAAAUUUUGCAUUGUUGCGUGCACACCAAGCGUGUAGGAGCAUAUACUAUAUACCACGACAAGUAGCCCGCUUCCGCGCCUGCAUUCUCUACCGCUUUGAGGCAUAAACUAGCUAGCUAGUAAACGCACUCAGAGAGCCAGAGACGCCGCAGCAAGUCCAAUGGCAUUCAUGAGUUCCAUUUCGGUUUGCACCAUGGCUCUCCUCCUCUUGGCGGCCCUGUGUGCUUCGGAUGACCGGCUUGUCCCAGGCAAGCCGCUCUUGCCCGGCACCACCAUCGUAUCUGAUGGCGGUGACUUCGCCUUUGGCUUCUUCUCCCCAUCCAAUUCCACUCCGGAGAAGCUAUACCUUGGCAUAUGGUACAACAAGAUCCCCCGGCUCACCGUGGUGUGGGUUGCUAAUCGGGCAACACCGGCCAUCUCCUCCUCAGCUCCUUCUCUUGUUCUGACCAACACCUCUCAUCUUGUCUUGUCCGAUGUCAAAGGCCGUGUUCUCUGGACAACCAACACCACCAAAGCUGCAAGCUCCUCACCAUUGCCAAGAUCAAAUGCUACUGGUGGAUCAGUGGCAGUUCUUAUUGAUACAGGCAAUCUCAUCCUACGGUCACCGAGCGGCAUGGUGUUAUGGCAGAGCUUUGACCACCCGACUGACACGAUGCUCCCUGGCAUGAAUAUAAGGUACCACAAGACACAUGAAGUAAACCGCCUUUUUUCUUGGAACGGCCCUGACGACCCCUCGCCGGGUGCCUUCUCCAUUGGCACAAAGACAGAAACGUUCAUCCAGGUCUUCAUCUGGAACGGUUCGCUCCCAGAAUGGCGCGGCGCAGUAUGGACGGGUGCCACAGUCACCAGCCAGCAGUUCUUUCAGGUGAACACCACUAAUGUUGUAUACACAGCAUUUGUUGACAGCAUCGAUGAGAUGUCCAUGGUCUUCACCGUCUCUGAUGGUGCACCUCCCUUACGGUCAGUUAUGAGCUACUCUGGUCGGUUAGAAGUUAGUGUUUGGAAUAGGGAUUCGUCGGAGUGGGCAAUGCUUUUAGUGUGGCCGGAGUACGAGUGUAGAAAGUACGGCUACUGCGGGCUCUCUGGAUACUGCGACCACACAGAUGCCACCCCAACUUGCAAGUGCCUUGACGGGUUCGAGCCUGUGGACAAGGAAGAAUGGAGCAGCGCCAGGUUCUCGCGGGGAUGCAAACGAAAGGAGGUGCUUCGAUGCAGUGAUGGUUUCUUGGCGCUGCCCGGUAUGAAUGUGCCCGACAACUUUGUGCGCAUUGGGAGGAAGACCAUCAAGGAAUGCGCGGCUGAGUGCAGUGGCAAUUGCUCUUGUGUGGCGUACGCUUAUGCAAAUUUAAAUGGCAGCACAUUAGAUGGUGAUGCGACGAGGUGCCUUUUGUGGAUUGGUGAUCAUCAGCUUGUCGACACACAGAAGAUGCAGGGUGUGCGUCCCUAUAAUGCAGCUGGUGCUGAUAGUCAAGGAGAGACGCUAUAUCUCCGAGUUGCAGGCUUGUCAGGUACCAUUUCAUAUCAUAAGACCUUCUAUCAGAACCAAGUGUUCGCCUAUAAGUGUCAUUCCCACUGUGGCAUGUGGUCUCCCUAUCAGGAGCUAUAUGUUUUUGAUCAGAACAUGACUUGGCAGGCCACUGUUGUUCAUUUACCAGGUCUUAACAGUAGGCACCGAGAUCAUUGAAAAUCAUAUAGGACAGUGGCAACUAAUUUUAGAAUCUGAGCAGAUCCUAGAAUCGAAUGAUAAUCAUAAUGUAUGGCUACAUGCAUAUUGUAGUCAAUAUAUGUGUAGCAAAAAUAGAUACUGAACUGAGAUUUACAUUUUUAUUUCUUUCUCAGUGAUCUAAUUUGGCAUACAACAUCAAGGCAAGUUGUGGUCCUAAAAUUAAUAGUCACUUUUGUCCAUGCAUUGUAAGAAUGCCGCGCCUGUCCGGCUGUUAGCUCAUGUAAAUCUCACUCUUACUACCAAUUUUAGUCAUAUAUAUGGCAUGAACUUGACUCUAAGUUUUACACUGGUUUGCAGGUGAACGGACAAAAGCAAAUGCAGUAAAGAUUAUUCUAUCAGCUUUAGCGAGUGUUAUUGUUCUCACUUCCAUUAUACUUAUAUGGAUCUGCAAGUUCAGAGGUAAGUUAUCUUAAUAUGUAUACUGAUCAUGGUUACUAAAAGAAAAACUACUCACCGGAUUUUGGGUGCAGGAAGGAAAAGAAAUGUGGAAAACCACAAGAAGCUAAUGCAUAAGGGUUUAAAUACUUCAGAAGAAAUUCUAGAAGAAAACACCACCCAUGAUUUUGAACUCCCAUUUCUCAAAUUUCAAGAUAUUCUUUGCUCCACAAACAAUUUUUCCAAUACAUUUAUGAUUGGACAAGGAGGUUUUGGCAAAGUUUAUAAGGUAAUUAUUUAUGGAAGGUCUCUUUAUUCAAUCAAGUAUCUGCAUUACAUAUCACAAUCUUACCUUUUUUUUAAUAAUUACAAAGGUGACACUAGAGGGUGGUCAAGAGGUUGCUAUCAAAAGACUUAGUAGGGACUCGGACCAAGGAAUACAGGAGUUUAGAAAUGAAGUUGUUCUAAUUGCCAAUCUACAUCACAGAAACUUGGUUCGACUUCUUGGGUGCUGUGUUGAGGGAGAUGAAAGGCUGCUGAUUUAUGAGUACUUGCCCAACAAAAGCUUGGAUGCCGUCAUUUUCAGUAUGCUCAAUUCAUAUAUAUAGUAGAAUAAUUCUAUGUUUUCAUUUUUCAUAUACAUGACAUAGUUAUUCCUUGUAGACUGUGAAAGAAAUGCAAAGCUUGAUUGGCCAAUAAGGUUCAAGAUUAUCAAAGGAGUUGCCAGGGGACUACUUUACCUCCAUCAUGAUUCAAGACUGACAAUAGUUCAUAGAGAUCUCAAAUCUAGUAAUGUUUUGCUAGAUGCAGAGAUGAGACCUAAGAUAGCAGACUUUGGUAUGGCAAGGAUGUUUGGUGACAACCAGGAAAAUGCAAAUACAAGAAGAGUUGUUGGGACAUAGUAAGUACUAUUCAUCACAAAUUAACAUAUGAGUAUAUAUGACCACCAAAUUCAUAUUCCUAAUUUUUGAAAAUGAAUGUCUUUACCAGUGGUUACAUGGCUCCUGAGUAUGCAAUGGAGGGUAUUUUCUCAGUGAAGUCUGAUGUCUAUAGCUUUGGCGUGUUACUAUUGGAGGUUGUAAGUGGUAUAAAGAUAAGCUCUGUUGAUCGCAUCCCAAAUUACCCAAACCUAAUAGUCUAUGUAAGCAAAUAUUACUACUUGCAGAGUAAGGGUUUUAAGUGUUUAGUAUUAUUCGAUCUCAAUGAGUGACAUGAUUGUUUCAGGCGUGGAACCUCUGGAAGGAAGGCAAAGCAAGAGAUUUGGUAGACAAAUGUAUAGUUGAGAACUGCUUGCUAGAUGAAGCAUCACUUUGCAUCCAUAUGGGGCUUUUGUGUGUACAGGAAAAACCUGAAGAUAGGCCAUUCAUGUCUUCUGUUGUGUUCAAUUUGGAGAAUGGGUGCCCAACACUACCAGCGCCAAAUCACCCUGCAUAUUUUGCACAAAGAAAUUGUGAUAUGGUGCAAAUGAGAGAAGAUAUUAUGAACUCUAUGAACACAGUGACUCUUACAGCAAUAGAGGGGAGAUAGAUUAACCCUUAAAUUUUUAGUCAUAAAAUAUUUGUUUAGGUCAAUUCUAUGAACUUAUAAUUUGCUUUUUUUUAGUACUAAUCUUGAAAUACAGUGUGCUGCUACCUUUUCCCUACUAGUAUGGUACAAAAGCUUUGUUUGGAAACCAGAAGUAGCCUGAAUGAAAUAAUAUUAAACAGAUACAUGCAGCUCAAAACAUCCCGUUGAGAUGAUACUGAUAAAGAAAGCGUAAGGUUUGUAAAACAGAACCUUUACCUAGUAUAAUGGCAGCCUGGCAGGGGAUAGGAUUGUUGCUUGCCAUUGAGCCGAGGUCAUCAUCGUUCACCAGCAGAAGCAAUCGCAUAACCCGCUAUCGCUUGCCGGCACGCAGGGACAAGAGACCGGUGGUGUGAAACUGUGAACUGGUGCAGCCAGUGGAUGCAGAGCGCGGGAAUGGGUGCGGCGUAGGCAUUCUGUCGAACAGGUGGAAGGCUUUCCGCGAGCACGCAGGCGAGGCGGAAGACUAGCCGAAGCCACCGAUGAUGAGAAAGUGGGCAGUUGGGCACGCAGCUUGAUAUCGGUCGCUCACACUUUCGUCUCCUCUGCAUUGGCGUCCGGCUGGCGAAGGCGGAACCUGGGAUCUCAGGGAGACUCAGGGUUGUCGCCUUGUCGGACUCCGAGACUCGGACAUAGGAGGACGACGCGCGCUGCGGGAGAAAUUCAAGCGAGCGCUCCCAAUUCCCAAAUUUGAGCUGCAACUUGCAAGCGUACGCCAGCCCAACCCAAAGAAACUAAUUUUAGACCCAUGAAGAUUAAGGCCCACCAAGCCUACAAGGAAAAGAGAAGAAAGCCCACGAAGCCCAUCAGCACCGAAAGAGAAGAAAAGCUUGAUGAGUCCAGAAAUUCCGUGGGGUGCAAGUUUUUUUCGACAACCCGUCUGGCGCAAGUUAGCCCAACAUUAAGCGGACCCCACGUGCCAGCGACACAUCUAGAAAGCAGCCCACUUGUCUAAUCUGACUCCACCUCGCCGGCCUGCCCAAUCCCUUCCAUCUCCAAACCGGAAAAAAACCCACAGAACCGUAGCCUCCCUACCUCUGUCCUGCUCGCUCCGCCGUCCAUCCACUCUACUGUCGGCGGCGGAGAGAAGACCCAACCCGCCGGCUUGAUCUGAGCCAUGGACAAGGUAAGCAAGAGGGCGCCGAUCGAGCAACCCGUCCUUCCCCUCAUGCUCGCCAGCUCGCGGGGGGAUCUCUUCUCUCUGUUUGUGAGACUGAUUUGGGUGUGGUUUUGUGCAGCAGCCCGGGGCGCAGGGGGCGGAGAAGGUGCCGGAGGAGAAGGUUCGUAUACUCACUUACCUCCCCUUCGUCCGCACAGAUAGGGCUAGCUUGCGAUUUUGCUUCCAUCAAGUGGCGUGGGAUGUAUGAGCAUUAUAUAUAAAUUGAAUUGCAUUUUGGCCGCAAGCUCUUUUCUGCAUGACUGCUUUGCCUAGAUCGUGUUCCCGAAAUUGUAACAUAUUAUCCUCUGAAACAGUUGUUUGUUCUCUGAGAUGUCUGAAUCAGCAGUUUGUUUUGAGCAGCUGCUUAAUGCAUACUAGCAUAUGUUUGUAUGAAGUAGCAAUUUGUGUACCUUCGGUAGUAUAAUGCUCCUUCCCCUAAGGGGGUACAUGGCUGAUGGCUCCUUUGUGCAAUCAGAACUGCAUUUUUUUGGGGGGGUUUAGUUAGCAAGUAUUUCUAGUCAGUACUCACUCCUUUUUUUUGUUCAUCCAGCAACUUGAUGAGAAAGAGUUAGAAAGGAAGCUGAAAAAAGAUCAAAAGGUAUCAAUCAAGUUCUGUCUUGCUUUGCUCUCUAUACUUAAUUUUUGUAUUGGUCGUAAUUGGAUGGCCUGAAAAUGGUAAUUAGAUCAAGUUUAACAGACAAAAGUGAUUUCACUGAAGUCAGAAAUGAGCUGAACUAUAAGAUUGGACUGUUCUGUUAUCAUGUGCGUGGAUAGUCAUUUAUGGGUUAAAUGUUGCACUUGCAGGCAAAAGAGAAAGAAGAAAAAAAACUUAAGGCGAAACAAAAGGAGGCAGCUAGGCUCCAGGUUCAAUUAUAAUGCUCACUAAUCUGUAUAUGACUGAACAGAUGAUCCAGACAUCGAAUAAGUGAAAUGCUUGUUGGAUAUGACAUAGGCACAAGCAGCCUAAGAUGGAACAAAGAAGACUGAGAAAAAACAAAGGAAGAAAGCUACGGAGGAUGAAAAUCCAGAGAAUUUCAUUGAUCCAGACACUCCUAAUGGCGGGAAGAAAUUGCUUGCGCCUCAGAUGGCCAAGCAAUACAGUCCAAGUGCCGUUGAGAAAUCGUAAGAUGCCUGAAUAGUUUUUUACAUUUUUUGAUUUUAUAAUUUCUAGCACUGUAAAUGUAUAUUUCAACCACAUGGUUUCUUUAUUUGUAUGCAGAUGGUAUGCCUGGUGGGAAUCAUCAGGAUAUUUUGGGGCAGAUUCUGCAAGCACAAAACCACCAUUUGUUAUAGUAAGUGAUUUAUGCUCUUGAAGGUUGUGCACAAUAAGAUCGAAGCUAAUUUAGCAUACUGCACCAUUUUACAUCACUGUAGUGCUUUUUACAUUGUCAAAUAGUGGGUUAGCUUCCAACAAAUAGUUGUCAUUUCUUUUCAGGUUCUGCCACCGCCUAACGUGACUGGAGCUCUUCACAUAGGCCAUGCGCUUACAGUGGCUAUAGAGGUAUUCCUAUUUUUAAGAGAUCUAUAUGCCAUGUUAACACUAGACAUUGACUAUACGAUGCUUUUAUUCUCAUUCAGGAUGCUAUAUAUGAUACGGUGGCGUAGGAUGUCAGGUUACAAUGCACUAUGGGUCCCUGGAGUGGACCAUGCUGGCAUUGCUACACAGGUCUGCAUUUAGGAAUUCAUUAAUCUUCUGGAGUUUAUAUGAUGAAUCAUACAAUACAAAUUUAGAUGAUAGAAUUUUGUUGCUGAUAUAUUAUUUUGGCUGCAUAUAUUGUCAUUCAAGUUGUGGAACAAACAUGCAGAGACACAUGCUGGCAGUGCUAGUUAACAAUGUGCAGACAUUAAAAGAACUCCGUCAGCAUGGGUGUUGGGGACAUAUUAAUGAAAUCUACUUAUGCAAUUUUACUGAAACAUUUUUCAAAAUAAUGUUUUGAAUCCCAUUUCCUACUUUUGGAUUUUAACUGUUUAGCAAUUGUUCAUCCAUUAAGUGCAUAAUUACAUAGCUUUUUUGUUGCUUCUAUACCCUUGAGCAAAUUAACAUUGUAUGAUUUUGGCCAAAUGUGAUUGUUUUGUGUUUGCUCAUUUCCACUUGUAUUAUUUCUGUGAUUUAACUUGGCAUUUGUAGUUCAACUUCUUAUUUGGACUUGACAAUGAGUACUUCAAUGUUUUGUACUCGCUUCAUUUUGACAUGGAAAAAGCUAUCGCACGCGUGGUCGCGCUGGUGUCAAGCGUUGGAUCGUGGCUCGUGCAUGAGCUGUUGGAUCGUGGGCUUAUUAAGAUGGGCUUUAACUAACUGGAGGUACAUUUAUAGGCUACUUAAAUAACUAGGCUAAUUAGGCAAAAGCUAACGUGUGCGGAUCGUGUGGGGUGAAGUGGAUUGUACAGCCCAAGUGUUUAUUAUUAUGUUUGAACUUUUAAAAAUAUGAUAAUUUUCAUAUGGAGUAUCCGUUUUCAAAUCCGAUUGCGCCAGCGUGUUAGUUACGAUGAGAUCUAUGAAACAAGAUCUAUGAUGCAUAUGUUUUAGAUUAAUUUUAUGUAGUGGUAACUUAUAUUGUGGUAUAGUAGGUGCUUCUAUAUCAAGUUUGUAGCAACUUAUGUUCAAAGCUCCAAACAAACUUUACAUAUAAGUUGCUACACAGAUAAUUUUGAACCUUAUGCCAUUACCUAUAUGAAGUAUCUACAUAAGUUGCCACAUUGUCUUUAUUUGAGUUGUUAUUUUAGCUGCGCAUAAGUUGUGUACACAACUUUUACCUAAGUUGUUACAUUUGUCUCUAUAUAAAUUAAUUUGCUCCUCGACAUUAGAAAUGCAAUAUAAGUUGCUACGUAGUUCAUGCAAUAUAAGUUUCUAGAGUUUUGGUUUUAGAUCUAGUUUUUUAGGAUUUUAAUUUUUGGUUUAGGAUUUUAGGGUUUGCAUUUAAUGUGUAGAUUGUCUAUUGUCUUUAUUGAGGUGAUACAUUAUCUUUAUCUAAGUAGAUCGUACAACUACUGGAAGAACUGUGGUGAUAUAAAUUGAUACAUAGUGUCUACAUAAGUUAAUACAUAGCCUAGUACAGUACUACUAUUUUUAUACAAGUUGAUACACAAACUCUACACAAGUUGAUACAAUCUCUAUAUAAGUUGAUAGUACCGUUAUAUAUAAGUUGCAAGCUCAAGUAAAUUUACUUCAAAACCUAUGGAAUAUGGGUCUUAUUUUGUAGAUUAUAUCGCAAGGAACACAACUGUGAAAACGGAUUAAAAAAUGGACUCUUAAUGAGUGAGUUAUCAUCAUUCAAAAAAAAUGGAACAAAAUAAAACACGAUGGUAGUCUCCAUGACUCCACCUAACCGUCCUGCAUGGCAAUUAAGAAAAGUAUGCGGAAGCAUGCGGUUGUUGUGUUGUUUCACACGGACACCAUUAGACGGAUAAAGGGGUCGCGCGCUCACCCUCUGCGCGACCAAUGGCGCGUUAACGAGCUCCUUUUGACAUCUGCUCUCGUGUAUAUCAGGUUGUUGUAGAAAAGAAGCUUAUGCGUGAAAGGAAGCUAACAAGGCAUGACAUAGGGCGCGAAAAUUUUGUUUCUGAAGUAAGCACUUUUUCCCAUGAUUAUGUUUUGUUGGCCAAUUGAUCAUCUGUUUCCAUUAUAUUACUUAGUGUCAUAUGUUCUGAAAUGAAAGUGUUGUCUAUUUUGUUCGAAUACUUAAUCCUGCACCUGAUGUAUCAUUUUUGUGUUCACUUCACUUAGUCCAUUUUUUAAAUCUUCUUACAAACAGGUGCUCAAAUGGAAAGAUCAAUAUGGUGGUACCAUAUUGAAUCAAUUGCGCUGGCUUGGGGCCUCACUUGAUUGGUCCCGUGAGGUAACAUACCUAUUCUAUUCAGUUAGGAAAAAACAUGGCAUGUGGUUGAACCAUGCAUAUUAACUUCAUUUCAAACUGGACACCAGGCUUUUACAAUGGAUGAGCAAAGAUCAAAAGCUGUAACUGAGCUUUUGUAAGGUUACACAAGGAAGGCCUGAUAUAUAGGUUAGUUCCCUCACACUUUUUGUUCGAGUGUAAGUGUUAAAAUGAAAAAGAGAAUCCACUAUCAAUUGUGCUUUAUUGUUGACCUACACUCCUGUUUUUCAAUUGCCAACCUUGUUUGAAUGGAUAUUCCUUUUCAGAGACUAUCGCCUUGUGAAUUGGAAUUGCACAUUUCAAACUGCAAUCUCUGAUAUCGAGGUUAAUGGAUCUUUAUAUUGUUUAUGAUAUGUUAGAUAUUGUUAUCCUUUGUGUGCUUGAUUAAGAUAAUUUUCUUAGAUUGAAAAUGCUGAUUUGACAGGUUGAUCAUAUUGAUCUUAAAGAUGAAACUAUGCUAAAGGUCCCUGGUUAUGCCAAUGAGGUGCAGUUUGGUGUAUUGAUAUCUUUUGCCUAUCCUCUUGAGGAAGGACUGGGUGAGAUUGUUGUAGCAACCACCAGGAUCGAAACAAUGCUGGGCGAUACUGCAAUAGCUGUUCACCCCGAGGAUAAAAGGUAUAAGCAUCUGCAUGGAAGGUAUGCAGUCCACCCCUUCAAUGGCCGAAAACUCAAAAUAAUCUGCGAUGCUGAGUUAGUCGAUCCCACUUUUGGUACUGGGGCUGUCAAGGUAAGAGCUGCUGAGGGUUACUUUUUUCCAAUCUUAUCUACUUGGACCUUCCUCAUAUUCUUAGAUGGUAUUGUUUGCUGGUUUUUUAUGCAGAUUACACCUGCCCAUGAUCCAAAUGACUUGGAGGUUGGAAAACAGCAUAACCUAGACUUCAUCAAUAUCUUCACUGAUGAUGGAAAAAAUAAGCAGCAAUGGAGGUGCACAAUUUGAAGGAAUGCCAUGAUUCACUGCUCGAGUUGCCGUUAUUGAGGCGCUGAAGAAAAAAGUAUUACUGGAUUUUCUUAACUAUAUCCCCUCGAUAUCUGAUUAUCAAUCUUUUUUAUGAAUAUAUGAAUUACAAUAUGUGGCAUGGAAUGCAUGAUUUAACAGAGUGAAAAUGCAAAUAGUGAAAUAUCAUGGUCUUUGUAUCAUAACCAUGAUCUAUCUAUUUAUUUCCUAGUGUGUUGUACAAAGGGGGAAAAAAUCAGUAUAGUAAUACGGAGUCAUUACCAUGAUCUUCAGUUCAGUAUCAGUACUGGAAAUAGCUUAUCAGCAUCAGAUUGGGAUCGGCUAUCAAUAAUUAUGAUUUUUCUAGAAUUUCAUAAUUUACAGAUAUCCUUCAUACUGUGGAAAUUGUUGAUAGAUUACUUGAUAGGUCUUUGGCUUCUUGUUUUAUAUGAUGGAUUAACCUUUUUUUAUUCUUCUAAUUAAGGGUUUGUAUAAGGACACAAAGAAGAAUGAAAUGAGCUUGGGCAUCUGUUCAAGAACUAAUGAUGUAGUGGAACCUAUGAUAAAACCACAGUGGUUUGUUAAUUUCAACUCCAUGGCCAAGGCAGGCCUUGAUGCUGUGAGGUCCAAAAAAAGAUUGAGAUCAUUCCCCAGCAGUAUGAACAAGACUGGUACAGGUAUAUCAUACAAUGUGUCUCCUUUUGCACUCAUCAUGUCAAAUGAAUGACAUAAAUCUGAAAUAAAUUACACACCCAUUACUGCUGUCCUUCCAGGUGGCUUGAAAACAUACGUGAUUGGUGUGUUUCGAGGCAAUUUUGGUGGGAACAUCGUGUACCUGCAUGGUAUGUGAUACUAGAAGAUGACCAGGAUAAAACCCUUGGUUCUGAUAACGACCGUUGGAUAGUUGCAAGAAAUGAAAGCGAUGCAAACCUGGAGGCACAGAAAAAGUAUCCAGGAAAGAAAUUGUGGCUAGAUCAAGACCCUGACGUGCUGGACACAUGGUUUUCAUCUGGUCUCUUCCCCUUAACAGUACUUGGUUGGCUGUCCGAUACUGCUGACCUCCGUGCUUUCUACCCUACUUCGGUACUAGAAACUGGACUUGAUAUUCUCUUCUUUUGGGUAGUAAGGAUGGUGAUAAUGGGUCUGCAACUGGGUGGUGAUGUGCCAUUUCAGAAGGUAUAGCACAAAUUCCCGUUCAGUGCCAUUUAAACUAUCAUAUGAUUGUAGCGAUCUAGUCCAUACACUUUGUUCAUGAUAGAUACUCUAUUCAAAACCUAUCGCUGCCUUCUGUAUCCCCUUAAUGUGGUUAAAUCCUGUAACACUAUAAUCUGAUCAAGAAGAGACCCAUGCCUGUAAUGUUGUGGAUGUAUAAUCAAGUUACCAGAAGUUUGUUAACUAAAAUAUGGAACCCUCCCAUUUUAAAUCAUUCUCUACUGAUGUUCUCCGCCCUUUAUAUCUACAUAAAGGCCACACUGAUUUCCUUCCCAAUGAACUCUACCUUUUUAACGUUUACCAUAUAUUGCUCACAUGUUAGGUGAGACAUCAGCACAGUGGGGUGCCAUGGUUUAUUAAGUCCAUUCUAUAUUUCUUUAAUAGUAAAUCCAUAAAGCCACCAUCUUUCCUUUUGUUCGUGUCUGCAAGUUAUAUCUUUUUUUAUUUUUGAACUCAAUUAGCAAGCCAAACCAUAUACUGAGGCUACAGAAAUUUGGCACUACAUAUGGCAGUCAAGUAUAUUUCAUCUCUUGUCCAAUGAUCAAUGACCACAUGCCCUGUUCUCAGGUUUAUUUACACCCUAUGAUCCGUGACGCACACGGAAGAAAGAUGUCAAAAUCACUUGGUAACGUCGUUGAUCCUCUUGAGGUGAUAAAUGGCAUGUUACUGGAAGGUCUUCUGAAACGUUUGGAAGAAGGCAAUCUGGAUCCAAAUGAAUUAAACAUUGCCAAAGAAGGGAAGAAGAAAGAUUUUCCUGAUGGCAUAGCUGAAUGUGGUACCGAUGCCCUCCGCUUCGCACUGAUUGCUUACACUUCCCAGGUGAUUAUGGUGCCCAGAGAGUUUUUUCUGUGUUAUACAUGCAUUGAAGAUUUUAUUACAAUCUAUUUUGUUUCUUAGUCUGACAGGAUAAAUCUUGAUAUCAAGAGAGUAGUUGGAUACAGACAGUGGUGCAACAAAUUAUGGAAUGCCAUCCGUUUUGCGAUGGGCAAACUGGGUGAUCAUUACAUUCCACCUUCAACUGUUGAUGUAUCUUCGAUGCCACCAAUCUGCAAGUGGAUACUCUCAGUGCUUAACAAGGCCAUUGGCAAAACCGUUACCUCUUUAGAAGCAUACAAAUUAUCUGAUGCGACAUCUACUAUAUACUCUUGGUGGCAGUACCAUCUAUGUGAUGUAUUUAUAGAAGCUAUCAAACCUUACUUCUUCAGCGAUUCUCAAGAGUUUGAAUCAGCAAGAGCUGCCUCCAGAGAUACCCUGUGGAUAUGCCUGGAGACUGGUCUGCGCUUGCUCCACCCAUUCAUGCCUUAUGUAACAGAAGAGCUAUGGCAGCGUCUUCCACAGCCCAAAGAUUCUUGCAGGAAAGAUUCAAUUAUGAUUUCAGAAUAUCCAUCCCUUGUUGAGGUAAUACCUGUGUCCUAAAGAAGAUUCUGUAGGAAAAAUUCAAUUACGAUUUGAGGACAGAGUCUUUGAGUACUUGUUUACCCAUGGGAAAAUAUUGUUCUUUAUGACAGGGAUGGACUAAUGAUAGACUUGAAAAUCAAAUGGACAUUGUCUUGGAUGCCGUGAACAGAAUAAGGUCACUGAAGCCACCAACAGAUUCAAAUGAGAGGUAUGCACAUGACCAUCUGUUUUGUUUUGUAUUUGCUUGUUUGGUUCUUCAAUCUGCUUUUGCAAAAUAGAGUAAUAACUUAUUGAUAUUUUCUUGUUCUUUCUUUUUUUCAGACGACCUGCUUUUGCACUUUGCCGAGGCCAAGAGAUUGCUGCCACUAUCCAAUGCUAUCAAUCUCUAAUCGUGUCCCUUUCCUCCGUAUCACAUCUCAAGGUAUGACUGUUUUAUUUUUCAUUAUGGAAAUAUCUUUCCCCUUGCAUCAUUUACAAUCACUUUAUCCUGUAUGGACAUAAAACCUAAAUGGAGUUUUAUUCCCUCAAAUUGCUAUGGUUCUUGCCAAAUAACUGUUCUUCUUGGCUUUCUUCAGCUUUUCACAUUUAUAUGCUACCUACUUAUGAACAAAACUACAAAAGCACUGAUCUAUUGUUGGAAAUUCUUCAGAUCCUGACAGAGAACGAUGAAACUCCAGCUGACUGUGCAACUGCUGUUGUAAACAAAGACUUAUCUGUGUACCUUCAACUCCAAGGAGCUCUAGAUGCAGAUGCUGAACGUGAAAAGCUAAGGAAGAAAAAAGACGAAAUUCAAAAGUAAGUGUGCAUAUACUGUCUUCCCUAUCCAUUUUUACCGUCAAGACUCGCUUAAGUUCACUGUUGUAUGACAUCAGUAACAUGGUCUCUUGUGAUACACGCAGGCUGCAACAUGCGCUGUCACAGAAAAUGGACGCCUCUGGUUACCGCGAGAAGGCUCCACAGAAUGUGCAGGAAGAGGACAUGGGGAAGCUCACCGCCCUAUUGGAACAACUGGAGGUCAUCAGUGAAGCUGAGAAGAAAUUAGAUGCAAAUAUUUGAAAUAACUGAGUCUGUGGCCUGUGUUUCAAAGAUACUCUGCUUGUACCGAAGUUGAUCCCACAUCUUUUUUUUUGUUCAAAAAGCUCAGUUGUGUACCUGUACGUUCAAGUUUAUAAUUGAUGGCUCAGAUCAAAAUUGCAGUUGCAUUUUCCAGCGUGUAAGAAUUGUACUGACGGCCUAUACAGGACAGUAUUUUUUGGAUGUCCGAUAUUGGCAAACUCUUGGUGUUGAUGCAUGUGGCCACUCUGCCGGAAUAUGUUGUAGCUGUAUUGUUGUGGUUUCAGGUCCGCAAAGCCUCACGAGACUAUGCAACGGGUCCCUUGUGUAGCAUUUCUUCUGCGGCAAAAGUUGUGAAAUCAAAGCAAAAUCUGCAAGCCAAUGAUAGUCGUCGCCGGUGCGUCCUCCCGCCUGCUCCUCUUGUUCAUCUUCCUAGGCAGCAGCCGCCGAGGUAGGGGAGAGCUGCUUGGGGAAUCAAUGGCUGUCGGACUUUCGCAGUAAACGUGCAAACGUAGGGGCAACAGCGGCAGUAGUGGCUGCACACACACACACACACACACACACACACACACACACACACACACAUGCACGGGUCGCAGCCGUGCACCACCACCUGAUUGGUGCGGCGGCGCAGGGCUCAUGUCGCGGUCCGUGCCGCGCGUGCCGUUCCCAGGUUUUGUGUUCCUCGCCAUCCCCAGCUGGUCGUCGUCCCGACGAAGUCCCUGUCCGGCUCCAUCUCCUUAGCCCAGCGCCCCAGAGCUCGAGGGUCCCCGGCGACGACGGAUGGCGGUGGUCGUUGUUUCGUUUAACGACCGCCCCGUGCUCCUUUUCGUUUCUUCCCCAUGCCAUGGAGAUCACGAUCACAUCAGAGGGAGCCUGACCCAAAUAACAGCAUGGUACAAUAUUACUGUGGGGCUCUGCGCAGGCUGCAGCCGCACUCGCCGCCGCGCGCACCGGUGCUGCCCGGGUUCACGUCUCCCGUAGCGCGACCUACGCGGCCGCGCGCUCCCUGGACGACGCGUUCUUCAUCUCCGCCUCCCCCGACCGCGGCAGCGACGCGCUCCUCGUCCCCGCGCUAUCCCUGCCGGCCAAGAACGACGGCGCGACGCGGACGCCCAUGUGCGUGCACAAGGUGCCGUCGCGACGCCGCGCUCGUCGGGCCUGCACAGCGCGGGCUCGGAAUGGCGAAGUGGGUGCUCUUGCUGGCGGGGCAUGGAGGCGUGAGACCUGAGUCGUCAGGAGGACGGAGUCAGGGUCAGGCUCGCGGUGACCGGAGCCGGGGGAUGGCCAUGGCGAAGUCGUGCCCGCGGCGGCGGGUCAGACCUCUCCCUCACCUAGUCCGAUAAAUUCCUCCAUCUCCACCGUAGACUGUCCAUCCAACGGCACCAGGAGCCCGCAGCAUGGAGACUCCAAAAUUUUUCUUUUAACCCCCCAAAUGGAUCGCGACUAUUCGCGGUCCAAAAUAUUUAACCCUCUAAAAAUGGAUCUAAUGUUUUGCACUAGAACCUCCAGAAGGCUAAAACGUAUGGAUGUUUUGCAUCAAAGCCCCCCACCUCUGUUCGUCUUCCUAGCAAAAGACGGACCUCAAUGGGGGAUGGCGGUGGCGUCGCUUUUGCCCACGACGGUGUCCGUGUAAGGCACGUGAGGGUGCGUUUGGUUGAGCUUUCCAACCUGCUUUUGCUUUUGCUUUUGCAAAAGCCAACCAAAAAGUCUAAAAGCCAUAGAUGUUUUAGCCGAAAGCUGCUUUUAUUUUAGUACAAAAUCAAAAACGCUUUCCCCCUGCUUUCAGCUACUUUUGGGGAAAAAAUUACCUACCUACCACUGAUUAUGAAGAUACCGGUUCGUUUCCCUGUUUUAUUUCUCCGACUUCCGCACCAGUGCACCCAUCUGACUCCUCCCGCACAGGCGCACCCGUCCGCCUCUUCCCGUUGCCCCCGGCCGCCCGCCCCAGCCGCCCAUUGCUCGCCGCCCGCUGCACCCCGCCGCUCGCCGCCCCCAGCCGCCUGCCCCGCCCUGCCGCACCCCGCCGUCCCCGGCCUCCCGCCCCAGCCGCCCGCCGCACCCUACUGCCCGCCGCAGGCGAGAGCUCCACCGUGGAGUGGAGUGGCCAGUAGGAAGAAGAAGAAGGGACUAGUGAGCGGGACCCGCUCGUCAAUGAGAAUGAGAAAGGGAGAGUUGCGGCGAGAGCUCCACCGUGGAGUGGACUGGCCAGCAGGAAGAAGGAGGGACUAACGAGCGGGACCCGCUCGUCAAUGAGAAAGGGAGAGAGUUGAGUGGGGUGGACUGUGGAUGACAUGUAGGGUCCACUCGAUAGUUUAUUCAAAAGCUACAGCUACUCUAACCAAAACGGCCUUCUGCUUUUCCCAUAACUAGUUUUCUACAGUCCACAGCACAACCAAACACACCCUGAACCGCGGGUUCCCCAGCCACACCCUCCUAGCGGCUACCGCCUCCCCGUACUGGCGUACAAACACCGCUCCGCGGGCGCGCCACAUCCUGAGCCCAGCGAGCGGGCAGCCCUUCCGCGCCGCCGGCGAGGAAGUGGACGUGCCGGCUGCCCGGCUAGGGUGCAACUGGUGCGCGUGCGGAGACCAACAGAUUUGAAUAUGCUCUGAAGGCACUAGGGACCAGGUCUCCCGUCUCAAAGUUAUUGUACAGGGACGCAGCUGAAAAAAGGUUAGUGGUUGCUCUGUUGUCUUGUCUACCCUACCGUCCCUGAAGAACUGUCAUGGUCAUGGAGUUCUUGGAGGUCUCAACAUCACCUCCUUUUCCUUGCAGCUUAGAAUUUCUCUCUGCGAAGUACGCCGGCUGAUCGGGCGCCGGCAGUGACACGCUCCCGUUCUCCAGGAUGGACACGACAGAGGACAUGAGCGGCCUGCCGUUGGGGUCGUCCUGGACGCACAGGAGCCCGACGUGGAUGCAGAGCAAGAGUUCAUCCAACGCGCAGCUCUCCACGAUGGAUGCGUCUACCAGGUCACUUGCAUUCCCUUCCUUCCACAGCUUCCAUGCCUGAAAAAAGUAUCAAAUGAGUCCUCUAUUUCAUUUCUAAGAGAAAUGGUCACACAAAUCAUUCCAUGGUCUAUACUCCCAAGUGUUUCAGACAUACUGCACUGGCAAAUUCAGAUAUGUUUGUACUGUAUUCUUACAUAGGCUACAAGGCCCGGAGACCCCAUGAUGUCAUCAGUAGAGCUUAUCCUGACGCCACUUACAAUUUCCAGGACCAAUAUGCCAAAGCUAUAGACGUCAGACUUGACAGAAAAGACGCCCUCAGUUUGAUAUUCAGGAGCUAUGUAGCCACUAGUGAGAGCGAGACCAUCAGAAGUUCAGAGUCGUCAGACACAAACGAAGUCCAAUCAUAUGCAAAAUUCAGUUAUAGGACAAAAUUGAAGUACUACUCACAAUGUUCCGACAACUCGCUUAGUGUUUGCCUUUUGCUGGUUUUCGCCAAAUAUCUUGGCCAUACCGAAAUCUGCUAUUUUGGGUCUCAUCUCUGCAUCCAACAAGACAUUGCUUGCUUUAAGGUCCCUAUGUAUCACUGUCAGCCUUGAAUCUUGAUGGAGAUACAGAAGUCCCCUAGCCACGCCCUUGAUGAUCCCGAAUCUUGUCGGCCAAUCCAGCAGAGAUUUCCUUUCGCUGUCUGCAUUGAACAACAAUACCAUAUAUGGGGAUAAUGUAUGCUUCAAUGUGACAUUUUAGCAGCUUCAGUUAUGAUGAGUGGAACAUACCGAAAAGGAUAGCAUCUAGGCCUUUAUUGGCCAAGUACUCAUAUAUCAGCAACCUCUCAGCUCCCUCUGUGCAGCAACCGAGAAGCCGAACCAAGUUCCGGUGCUGGAGUUUGGAGAUCAAAAUAGCUUCAUUCUUGAAUUCCUCUAUCCCUUGUUCAGAAUCCUUGCUGAGCCUCUUGACAGCAACUACACGACCACCUAAAAAUGUCCCCUUCAGAAUUAUAGAACGAUAACUAAGUAUUGACUCUUGAGUACUAUAAUUCAAUUCAUGGAUUCAGAUGGAAAAGGAUAUGCUGCAGAACCUGAUAGUACCUUGUAAACUUUGCCAAAACCUCCGCGCCCGAUCAUACAUUCUCUCGAGAAGUUAUCUGUUGCCGCAACAAUAUCACUGAACUGUAUGGAAGGGAAUUCAAGAUCUUCACUGGGGUUUCCUUCUCCAAGUUCACUUGAAGCGCGCACACUGCCAGGCACCAGCUUCUUCUCACUUUCACUGCUUCUUCUCUUACCUGCAAAUUGGUGUUAAACAGCAUUUCUUUUGUGAUAACAUGUACCUCCUUCAUUCCUGUGUCUAAGGCUAAAACAACAAAUAUUGUGAGAGCAUACAGAUAAAAUACAAAAUAAAUACCUUUGGAUCUGCAUUUACAAAACCAAACAAGGACACUGCAUGUGACUAUCAAAACACUUGCCAACACUGGCAGUAAAAUUUUCAGAGUUUUUGUCCCUCUCUUUUUGCCUGCACAAAUACAGGUGAAUGCUUCGUGACAAUUGCAAGAAGAUGCUUUUGCUGCCGGUUGAAAAUUGAGACAUUGAUGCGGCAGGAACAGAAAAGAAAAGCGAACCUGUGAAUCCGGCAGGAACCCGGAGGUUAAGCGUCUCGGCGGUCACGCCCCAGAAGGCGCCGAUCAUCUGCGUGUCGACCAGCUCCCCGGUCCACACCAGGCACCGCGCGAUGUCCCCUUUGGCGCUGCUGCUGCGCAGGCUCGCGUACGCGUACGCCUCGCAGGCGCAGUCCCGGCGGCACGCUGCGGCGCACUCGUCGCCGGAGGUCAUGUUCCCGAGGAGCACGAACUUGUCCGGCACCUUCAUGCUGGGCAUCGCCAAGAACGCAUCCCCCUCACCGCCGCCGCCGCACGGUGCCAGGGCCUGGCUCCGGCGGCAGCCCCGCGAGAACACGCCGCGGCUCCACUCCGCUCGGCUAGCGGGCUCGAAGCCGUCGAGGCACCUGCACGUCGCCGCGGUCUGCGUGUGGUGGCAGUAGCCGUAGGCGCCGCAGCUGCCGUAGGGGCUGCACCCGCGGCCUGGCAAGGACUCGAGCGUGGUCCACGCCGACGCGUUGCGAUUCCAGCUCAGCAGCUGGAACUUGCCGGCGCCGGUCACCACGUACCGCGUCGGCGGGGCGCCUUCGUUGACGGAGAAGGUCGUGUAGAUCUCCUCCUCACCGUCUACGACCGCCACGUAGAUGACCGUGCCGGUGGCGGGGUGGUACCUGCUUACGGUUGGGUACCCCGUCCAGGGCGUGCCGCGCCAGUAGAUACGCGUCCCGUUCCACAGCAGCAGCUGGAGCGACGUGUUCGGGUCCAUGCCGUAGGAGAAGCUCCCCGGCGAGGGGUCGCCGGGGCCCUUCCACGACACGAUGCGCCAGCCGUCGACCCCGUCGUCGCGCGUGCGGCGGCGCAGCCCGACCUUCAUGCCCGGGAUGAACGUGUCCGUCGGGUGGUCGAAGCUCUGCCACAACGGCUUCGCGGCGUUCGGCGACAGGAUGACGAGGUUACCGUCAUUCUGAAGCACCGCCGCCGUCGAACCAGUUGCAGAACCCGAGCUCAUGGCGGCGGUGAUGUUCGCCGUCCAGACGACGCGGCCGCUGGCGUCGGCCAGGACGAGGCUGGAGGUGUCGUUGGCCAGCGCAAGCGACGGCGCGGCGGAAGAGUUGCCGCCGGAACCCUCGCCGAUGAUGACCGGCGCGUCCCGGUUGGCGACCCACACCACGGUGCUCGCGGUCACGGUGAUGUUGUUGUACCAUAUGCCGAGGUACUGCCUGCCCGGCGCGGCGUCAGAGGGGGCGAAGAAGCCGAGCACGAAGGCGCCGCCGUUGGACACGAUGGUCUCACCGGGCAACAGCGACUCCCCGCGGGUCAGCUUGUCGCCGGCCGGCGAGCACAGGCGCGGCAAGAGGAGGAGGACGGCGGCCGUGAUGCAGGUGGAAGUGGAACGUGACCACUCCAUGGUCGCACGUCAUUCGGUAUGGUACCAAAGAGACAGAGACCAGUAUGUUCGUGCAGAUGAAAUACUCCUAACCUCGAGGCUUGGGCUGCAAGUGACCGUGAUAGAAUUCUAGAUUUCUAGAGCUCCCUUGGACUAGUUUCAGCGUACGGAGUUUAAGAGAAGGUCGGAGCUUGACGCUUGGGGAGUUAGCGCCAGGAGGACGCUUGCCAUUGGUGUGCCUACAUGGACAUGGCGACGGUAGCGGCCGGCGGUGAUGUGAGCCAAGAAAUGAGUGGUACACUGACUAGUCAUCUCUGCGUGUGUCACAACGAAAUCGUCACCAACAACUGCGUUGAUUUCUGGAUGGAACUGGGGACGAUGCGGCGACCGAGUUGGGGUGGAAGUGGAACCACGGUUUCUGGUGUGCGUUGCUUAUUCAGACAGCGACGUAGAGUUCUGCAGUGCUCUUCAAAGCAUGAUCUUACCUGAAGAUCACGAAGCGUGGCCAGGAAAGAAAGAAAAAUAAACAGGUGGUCUCCAAAUCUGAGGUUGAGUUCUGCACUCACACUUGUGCCCGUGGUGGUUCUGAAAUGUUCAGCAUUGCUAGAAACAAGGACCAGUCUGCAUGUGUCACGCAAGAUCAAAUCUUAACCAACACCAACCACCACACACACUGGAUCAGAGUUCUGAUUGGAACGAAGCUGGCAUGAUGCUGCAAUCGGAUACAAAGUCAGUGUGGAAGCACGGUUCCUCGCGUGCCUUUAUCAUAUCCAAUAAUUGCUCUCAGCUCGUGCUGCUCGAUGAAUUUCUUCAUACAUGAACAAUCCUUCUGAAAACUUUGUAGGCAACGAAAUCCAGGUUCACCCAUUAUGUAAGAAAAAAAGAAUUGUCCUUCCAAUUAUCAUCACAAAGAGUAAAAAUGAAACACCAUUAGUCAACUCUAUUUGUUCAAAUUCAGUUCUUUCAUAUUCUUUUGUUUAUUAUGAUAGGAAAAACAUAAUAUCCUACAGCUGUUGAGAUUUCUAACAUAACCGAAAAUAAAAUUGAAAAUUAAGAGAAUGGCUUCCAAACCACAAAUGGUGAUGGAGCCUUAAGCAAUACUAUCUAUCUUGGGCAGUGUUUCCAAACAUCAUAAAAAGGUUAUCGUCCCUCUAUAUUUGUGAGAGUAAGGGAAUUCAUGGAAUUUUCAGUUCUGUCCCUAAUUUGCUCCAGAUCACUGCUCCUCUGUCCAUAGUGCCCAGGGUUGUUGGGUGCUGGCAGUGUGGUGCUUCCAUUCUCUAGAGUGAACACAACAGAUGACAUAAGUGGUCUAUCAUCUGGGUUUUCUUGAACGCACAAGAGUCCCACAUGACUGCAAAGCGAAACUUCAUCUAGCAAACAAGCAUCCGUAAUGGAUUGGUCUGCUAAAUCUCUCGUCUUCCCCUCCUUCCACAUGUUCCAAGCCUGAAACAAUCAAAACAAUUAUUUGGAUUUAUGGUAAGCGAGAACCUGAAGACUCUGAUUUUAAUCAGUUACAGCUCCAUAAAAGGCAUAUACUCACAUAGACUAUUAGGUUCGGAGAACCUAUAAUGCUACUAACAGAACUUCUCUUUAUACCAGUAACAAUCUCUAAGAGUAGAACACCAAAGCUAUAGACAUCGGACUUGAUGGAGAAGACGCCUUCCAUUGCAUACUCCGGAGCCAUAUAGCCACUGUUUGACCAUUUCACGUGCAGAUAUUAUUGAAUGAAAGCUGGAUUUAGUUAUGCUUUGUUUGAAAAAAAAUUAUAAAUAGUUACUCACUAUGUCCCAACAACACGAUGUGUGUUUGCAUCUUUCUGGUUAUCAUUGAAUAUCCUUGCCAUGCCAAAGUCUGCUAUCUUUGGUCUCAUGUCUGCAUCUAGCAAAACAUUAGCGGCUUUGAGAUCUCUAUGAAUUAUGGUCAAUCUUGAAUCUUGGUGGAGAUAGAGAAGUCCUCUUGCAACCCCUUUGAUUAUAUUGAAUCGUGUAGGCCAAUCCAACAUCUUCCUCGAAUUAUCUGCAUUGAAGAGAUUCAAGGUAACACAAUUUUUGGCUUUUAUGUGCUAUUUAUAAGAAUUUAUGGCGUGUCACAUACCAAAGAGGGUAGCAUCUAAGCUUCCAUUAGCCAAGUAUUCAUAAAUAAGGAUUUUCUCAUCAGCCUCAACACUGCAACCAAGAAGUCGAACCAAAUUUCUAUGUUGCAAUUUAGCAAUUAGAAUUACUUCAUUGCUAAAUUCCUUUGUUCCUUGCUCAGAAUCCUUGCUUAACCUUUUGAUGGCAACUUCUUUACCACCAAGCAUCGCCUUCAGGAAAAGUAAAGAGAAAAAUUAGAUUUGAGUUUAUCACACAGACAACUCAAUGUAAUUGGAGCACAUUAUUAUAAUUAACAAAAAUCAAUGUAAUUACAUGACCAGAACUAAUAAGAGGAAAUCACUGUCGAAUUAAGUAAUUACCUUAUAAACUUUGCCGAAACCCCCCUGCCCGAUCUUACAUGCCUCUGAGAAAUUGCGUGUUGCAGUCACAAUAUCCUCAAAUCUGACAGAGAGGAAUUCAAAGUCUUGGGCAAGGUUUCGUUCCCCAAGUUCAUCGGAUGUACUCAUGUCAUCCAAAGUUAGCUUCUUAUGCCUCGACCAAUGACUUAAUUUACCUGUUUUCUAAAUUCCAUAAGCAAUUGCUCCUUCGAAUAAUGAGAUAUAGACAAUGCAACUAUGUUGAGUUCUACCUUUGAACUUGAACCAUGCUAGGUAAAUGGCUGCGAGGAUCAAAAGGACACUUAUUAAAACUGCAGGGAGCACUGUCUUCAGUGUAUUGCUCUUCGCCCUCAUCGUGCCUGUGCUUUACAAGUUAGUGCAAAGUUUUAUGCUUUGCAAAUAGCACAACUGAUGAAAGCCUAAGGCCUAUUUUCCUUGCCACCAAAAAAAGAAGAAAUGGAGCAAAUUACAACAAUAACAACCAACAAGAAACACACGUUUUUUGGAAUCCACGAAUUUCACAUGGAAUCUUUUGAUUGUGUUUAAAACAAGAGGGGUUUUUGGCGGGCACACCUCGAAUACGCUUAGCGCUGAACAUUGAGCCUAUGUAUGCUUUGCUUCGUUUGGAAUAAAGCGGGGCAGACCAUUUCUCUAAAAAAACGAGAGGAGUUUCUAGGCUUCCAAAUGGGUUUUCAAAAUUUCGUCAAUGCUAGAUAAGAAGAUAAAGUCUGUGGCACACCUGCAUCGAAGCCUGCAAUCCGGAGGUACAGCGUGUCAGUGCCAUCCCCGUUACCUAUCUUCUCCGUGUCAAUCAGAUCGCCGGCCCACACCAAGCACCUCGUCACAUCCCCGUUCGUUCUGCUGGUGCUCAGAUUGGCAUAAGCAUAGGCCACGCACGAACAGUUCCUGGUGCACUCCGCUGCGCACUCCUGGAAUGUUCGAUUCUGGACGAGCACGAACUUGUCCGGCGAUUUCAUCCCCGGCAAGGCCAAGAAACCGUCACCGCACCGCAGCGCCUCCUUUCGCCGGCACCCCUGUGAGAACCUGCCGCCCUUCCAAUCUUCUAAGCUCGCCGGCUCAAAACCGUCGAGGCACUUGCACGUCGCGGGAAGCUCUAUGUAGUCGCAGUAGCCGUUCGGGCCACAGUAGCUGUAGCGGCUGCACUCGCCGGCACCGCGCGUCCAAUCCCAGAGGAAGGUCCAUGCGGACGAGCUGCUGUUCCAGGUUUGGAGCUGGAACUCACCGGAGUGCGUGAGCACAUGCCUGGUGUACGCGGCGCCGGCGGAGAGGCUGAAGGUCAUGUAGAUCUCCUCCUGGGUGUUGACGAUGGUGAGGUAGACGAUGACGCUGGUGAUCGCCCGGUACUUGACGGCGACGAAGUAGCCCGUCCAUGGUCCGCUGCGCCAGAUCGGACGCGUGGCGUUCCAGAGGAAGACCUGGAGGAACGUGUCUGGGUCCACGCCGAAGGAGAAGGAUCCCAGCGAUGGGUCGUCGGGGCCCUUCCACGAGACCAGGCGCUCGCCGGCGCGCGUCUCAUACCUGAUCCGAAUCUUCAUGCCAGGGAGGAACGUGUCGGCCGGGUGGUCGAAGCUCUGCCAUAAGGCGGUGCCGUCGGGAGACCGGAUGACGAGGUUGCCGGUGUUGAGAAGCACCGCGGCAGCGUUGCCGGCCGCCGGAGCUGCACCGGUGACGUCCGUCGUCCACAGAACACGGCCGUCGGAGUCGGACAGGACGAGGUUGUUGGAGGAGUUGGUCAGGGACAGCGCCGGUGGCGAAGAGAAGGUAGCGCCAGCGCUGCUAUUUGUGGCCGGGGUUUCUCUGUUGGCGACCCACACGACGGUGCGCCGGCGGAUGUCGUUGUACCAGAUGCCGAGGUACAGCUUGGCCGGGGUGGAGUUGGUGGGGGAGAAGAAGCCCAAGGCGAAGCUGCCGCCGUCGGAUACGAUGGUGGCGCCAGGGGAGAGCGGCUUGCCGGGGACGAGCCGGUCGUCGGCCGCACACGGUGGCGGCAGCAGCAGCAGCAGGAGGACAGUGGCGUACUUGAUGAUAGCUGGCCAAGCCAUCAAGCUAGCACCUAUCCUUUGCAAUUCUAGCUACUUAGCUGGUUGGUCGUCAUUGAUCAGCAUUCAGCAACGCAACUGGAUGUUUUUACUGGAGAAGGUAUUGCUGCCAUGAGCCUUGGUCUACGGUACACUGGCAAACGAUGUCAACGCAACUGCCUUGUGUUUUCUUAAAACUAACAAAAGAUAAUCACAGCAACGUCAUCUGUUACGCAGGAGAUGAGCGAGACUGAGAAGAGAUGGCAUAUUAUUAGAUGGUUGAAAUGAAGAAACCCCUCUACAGGCUCAGCAACGAAAGUACAGAACAUAAUAAACAGGGCACGGAGUAGAAUAAUAGUGCAAAAGCUUGGAAGUCCGAUGGACCUUUUCAAGGAUCAGAGUUUCAGACACGUAUUGUGGUUGACAUUUCAGCUGUCCACGUCGGCUCUUUGCGGUAGUUAGGAUGCUGUCCUUUCCUUUCUUCUUUUGAAGUGGUAAAUUUUGUUGUAUACUCAGUACAAAAAUUUCUAGUUUCCGUGCGGUUUCAUCCGCCGUUAGUUUCAGGCCGGCGUGAGAUUAAGCACGCACGAUCAUAGUCGCAUUUGGAAGCACGUACGGUUCCUCAUCAAGUGCCAUUGUGAAAUCCAAGAGUUGCUGCUCAUCAGUUAUUUCUUUCUUUCAUGAAUGGUACUCUCAAUGUUAAAUCGUCAAGUACUGUAUUUUAUUUAGUUGACGCAUGACAAGGUAAACAAAUAACCUUUCCGGGUUUUUUUCUUGGAAAAAAAGGGGUGGGAUCGUAUUUUAGGAAAGUUUAAGGGCUCCCCUUUUAAUGGUAAAUGGAGAGCCCUCCCCAUUUAGCUUUUAACUUUUAUUUAAUCAGAGUUCAUUUCUUUAAUUUUUUUCCGAGGUUGAGUUCUGCACUCACACUUGUGCCCGUGGUGGUUCUGAAAUGUUCAGCAUUGCUAGAAACAAGGACCAGUCUUCUCUGCAUGUGUCACGCAAGAUCAAAUCUUAACCAACACCAACCACCACACACACUGGAUCAGAAUUCUGAUUGGAACGAAGCUGGCAUGAUGCUGCAACCUGAUACGAAGUCAGUGUGGAAGCACGGUUCCUCGCGUGCCUUUAUCAUUCCAAUAAUAGCUCUCAGCUCGUGCUGCUCGAUGAAUUUCUUCAUACAUGAACUAUCCUUCUGAAAACUUUGUAGGCAACGAAAUCCAGGUUCACCCGUUAUAUAAAAAAAAAGAAUUGUCCUUCCAUUUUUCAUCACAAAGAGUAGAAAUGAAACACCAUCAGUCAACUCUAUUUGUUCAAAUUCAGUUCUUUCAUAUUCUUUUGUUUAUUAUGAUAGGAAAAACAUAAUAUCCUACAGCUGUUGAGAUUUCUAACAUAACCGAAAAUAAAAUUGGAAAUUAAGAGAAUGGCUUCCAAACCACAAACGGUGAUGGAGCCUUAAGCAAUGUCUAUCUUGGGCAGUGUUUCCAUACAUCAUAAAAAGGUUAUCGUCCCUCUAUAUUUGUGAGAGUAAGGGAAUUCAUGGAAUUUUCAGUUCUGUCCCUAAUUUGCUCCAGAUCACUGCUCCUCUGUCCAUAGUGCCCAGGGUUGUUGGGUGCUGGCAGUGUGGUGCUUCCAUUCUCUAGAGUGAACACAACAGAUGACAUAAGUGGUCUAUCAUCUGGGUUUUCUUGAACGCACAAGAGUCCCACAUGACUGCAAAGCGAAACUUCAUCUAGCAAACAAGCAUCCGUAAUGGAUGGGUCUGCUAAAUCUCUUGUCUUCCCCUCCUUCCACAUGUUCCAAGCCUGAAACAAUCAAAACAAUUAUUUGGAUUUAUGGUAAGCGAGAACCUGAAGACUGAUUUUAAUCAGUUACCGCUUGAUAAAAGGCAUAUACUCACAUAGACUAUUAGGUUCGGAGAACCCAUAAUGCUACUAACAGAACUUCUCCUUAUACCAGUAACAAUCUCUAAGAGUAGAACACCAAAGCUAUAGACAUCGGACUUGAUGGAGAAGACGCCUUCCAUUGCAUACUCCGGAGCCAUGUAGCCACUGUUUGAUCAUUUCACAUGCACAUACUAUUGAAUGAAAGCUGAAUUUAGUUACUUUUUGUUUGGAAAAAUAUAAAUUGUUACUUACUAUGUCCCAACAAUACGAUGCGUGUUUGCAUCUUUCUGGCUAUCAUUGAAUAUCCUUGCCAUGCCAAAGUCUGCUAUCUUUGGUCUCAUCUCUGCAUCUAGCAAAACAUUAGCAGCUUUGAGAUCUCUAUGAAUUAUGGUCAAUCUUGAAUCUUGGUGGAGAUAGAGAAGUCCUCUUGCAACCCCUUUGAUUAUAUUGAAUCGUGUAGGCCAAUCCAAUAAUAUCUUCCUCGAAUUAUCUGCAUGAAGAGAUUCUGUAUAACACAAUUUUUAGCUUUUAUGUGCUAUUUAUAAAAACUUAUGGCGUAUCACAUACCAAAAAGGGUAGCAUCUAAGCUUCCAUUAGCCAAGUAUUCAUAAAUAAGGAUUUUCUCAUCAGCCUCAACACUGCAACCAAGAAGUCGAACCAAAUUUCUAUGUUGCAAUUUAGCAAUUAGAAUUACUUCAUUCCUGAAUUCUUUUGUUCCUUGCUCAGAAUCCUUGCUUAACCUUUUGAUGGCAACUUCUUUACCACCUAGCAUCGCCUUCAGAAAAAGUAUAAGGGUGAAAGUUAGAUUUGAGGCUUGGAGCUCAUUAUUACAAUUAACAAAAAUCAAUAUAAUUAGAUGACCAGAACUAAUAAGAGGAAAUCACCGCAGAAUUAAGUAAUUACCUUAUAAACUUUACCAAAACCCCCCUGCACAAUCUUACAUGCCUCUGAGAAAUUGCGUGUUGCAGCCACGAUAUCCUCAAAUCUAACAGAGAAGAAUUCAAAGUCUUGGGCAUGGUUUCCAUCCCCAAGUUCAUCCGAUGUACUCAUUUCAUCCAAAAUUAGCUUCUUAUGCUUUGCCCCGUAUCUUAUUCUACCUGUUUCCAUAAUUCUAUAACCAAAUGCUUGAAAUAUAGAUUUGUAAGAAACUAAGAAUGGAAAUAUGUUGAGCUCUACCUUUGAACUUGAACCAUGCAAGGGAAAGGGCUGCGAGGAUCAGAAGACCACUUGUCAAAACAGCAGGGAGCACAGUCUUCAGUGCUUUGCUCUUCGCCCUCAUCAUACCUGUGGUAGCUUUACAAGUCAAAAAAAAAGAAAAAAAAAGAAAAGAAGACCUAUUUGAAGUCCCCACAAAUUCCACAUGGAACAUUUGAAUUUCUGUUUUAAACGAGAAAGGGAUCCCAGCUUUCCAAAUGUGGGUUUCAAAGUUUCCUGAAUAGAAUCAUAGAUAGAUGAGAAGAAAGAAAAGGUCGAUCUGUUGCACGUAUACCUGCAUCCAAGCCUGCAAUCCGGAGGUACAGCGUUUCGCUGCCAGCAUUGACACCUAUUUUCUCCGUGUCAAUCAGCUCUCCUGUCCACACCAAGCACCUCGUCACAUCCCCCUUGAUUCUGCUAGUGCUCAGAUCAGCAUAAGCAUACGCCACACACGAACAGUUUCUGGUGCACUCGGCUGCGCACUCCUGGAAUGUUCGGUUCUCGACGAGCACGAACUUAUCCGGCGAUUUCAUCCCCGGCAAGGCCAAAAAACCGUCGCUGCACUGCAGCGCCUCCUUUCGCCGGCACCCUGGAGAGAACCUGCCGCUACUCCACCCCUCUGGAUUGGCAGGCGCGAAACCGUCGAGGCACUUGCACGUCGAUGGAUUCCCAUCCCAUCUGUUGUCGCAGUAGCCGUUCGGGCCACAGUAGCCGUAGCGGCUGCAGUAGCCGCCCGUCCAUUCGGAGAGGACGGCCCAUGCGGAUGAGGCGCUGUUCCAGGUUUGGAGCUGGUACUCGCCGGAGUCUGUGAGCACGUAUCUGGUAUGCGCGGCGCCGGGUGAGAGGCUGAAGGUUAUGUAGAUCUCCUUCUUGGUGUUGACAACGUUGAGGUUGACGAUGACGCUGAUGACCAUCUGGAACUGGACCUGGACGGAAAAGGAGUCGCCCGUCCAUGGCCCACUGCGCCAGAUCGGACGCGUUGCGUUCCAGACGAAGAUCUGAAGGAACGUUUCUGGGUCCCCGCCGAAGGAGAAGCUCCCCGGGGAUGGGUCGUCGGGGCCCUUCCACGAGACCAGGCGCUUGCCGGCGCGCGUCUCGUACCUGAUUCGGAUCCUCAUGCCGGGGAGGAACGUGUCGGCCGGGUGGUCGAAGCUCUGCCACAAGUUGGUGCCGUCCGGUGACCAGAUGACAAGGUUUCCAGUGUCCAUAAGCACAGCGGUAGCGUUCCCCGCAGCUGCACCGGUGACGUCGGUCGUCCACAGAACAUGGCCGUCAGCGUCUGACAGGACGAGGUUGGACGCGUUGGUCAGGGACAGCGCUGGUGGAGAGGACGUGGUGUUCGUGACGGGGAUUUCUCUGUUGGCGACCCACACGACGGUGAGCCGGGGGAUGUCGUUGUACCAGAUGCCGAGGUACAGCUUGGCCGGGGUGGAGUUGGUGGGGGAGAAGAAGCCCAAGGCGAAGCUGCCGCCGUCGGAUACGAUGGUGGCGCCAGGGGAGAGCGGCUUUCCGGGGACGAGCCGGUCUUCGGUUGCACACGGUGGCGGCGGCAGCAGCAGGAGGACGAGGACAGUGGCGUACCUGAUGAUAGCUGGCCAAGCCAUCAUGCUACUAUGCUAGCACCUUUCCUUGCAAUACUUAGCUAGCUUGUUGGUCUGUUGGUCAUGGAUCAGCAACGAAACUGGAGGUUUCACUUGAAAUGAAGGUAUUGCUGUCUUGAGCCUUGGUCUACUGGCAAACGAUGUCAACGGCUAAACCAACAAAAAAAAAUAAUGACGGCAGCAGCAUCUGUUACGCAGGAGAUGAGCGAGACAGAUAAGAGUAGAAUAUUAAUUAGAUGGUUUUAAUGAAAGGGUGCAUUCCAGGAACCUCCCUACAGCCUCAGCAACGGAAGUACAGAACGUACACACCACAAGGUAUAAUAAUGCAAAAGCUUGGAAGCCCGGUGGACUUUUUCAAGGAUUCACACACGUAUUAUGGUUGACAUUUCAGCUGUCCACGUAGGAUUUAGGAAUUAGGAUGAUAUUGCCGUUCCUGCUAGCUAGACAUACUAGCGACAGGAAGUGUAAGAAAUGUAUUGUGCCAGUUUGUUGCUGUCCUUUUCUUUCUUCUUUUGAAAGGGUACAUGUUGUUAUACCUCGGUACACAAGUUCUAGUUUCCAUGUGGUUAGUUUCAGGCUGACUUGAGAUUAAGCACGCAUGAUAAUAGUCACAUGUGGAAACACAGUUCCUCAAGUGCCAUUGUGAAAUCCAAGAGUUGCUGCUCACCCGUCAUUUCUUUCUUUCAUGAAUGGUACUCUCGUUGCGAAAUCGCCAAGUAAUGUAUUGUAUUUGGUUGAUGCAUAUGACAAGGUAAAUAAAUCAACUUUUCCCUUUUUAUUUUUGAAAAAAAAGUGGUGGGGUCCUAUUUUAGGAAAAGUUAAGGGCUCUCCUUUUAAUAGUAAAUGGAGAGCUCUCCCCAUUUAGCUUUUAACUUGAUUUUUUUCUUUAUUAUAGUAUGAACCAAAUAGUAUCAUUAUGGCUCAUUGUGACUGCCCACAAAGAAAAAAUGAAACAGAAAAAUUCUUAAGGAAAUGAGCACGCAAUGAUGAUAUUAUUUGGAAGAAGAAUUAGUAAGGAAAUGACUUCAGCACUGACAAAUUUUGGGUAGAGCCUUAAGAAGAAGAAAAAUAUAAGGGAAACGCUACCGUCCGAGCGUCCGGACGCGUCGGAUGUCGUUCCGCUCCCCUCCGCUUCCUAUCCAUUCCCACAGUUCUUUUUCUUCCCCAUCCCUUUUCUUCUUCAACCUUCCACCUCGGUGUCCUCCUCCUCCACUCCGGUGGCCUUGUCUCCCACCUGCGCCCCACGCCGGCGUCCUCCUUGCCCACCUUGACGGCGUCACGCUCCCCCACCCGGCGGCCUCAUCCCUCACCCGCGCCCCACGCCGGCGUCCUCCUCCCCACCUCCACGGCGUCACGCUCUUCCACCCCGGCAGCCUCGUCCCCCACCCAGGCGGCGCCCCUCCCCCCACUCCGGCGUCCUCAACCCACCGGGAGUAUCCAACGCCCUAGAUCCAGUGGCCCUCUCCCCGACCCCGGCGAGAUCCGAGCAAGCCCUUGACCCUCCACUACCCCGGCCGGCAGCAGCCUCCUUAGAUCCGGCGGCAUCUCCUCUUCUUCGGCCGACAACGGGCAGGCUGGUUGUCUUGGAUCUGAGUGUUGCAAUAGUUAUUUUUGGAUGUUGCAACGGUGGCUUUUGAUGUUUCAUCUGUUUUGCAACAGUCUGACUUGCCAGCAAUCGGGUGUUGCACCAACUUGUUCAUGAUGUUGCAUAUAGUUGUUUUCUUUGUUUUGUCUCUUCUUCUUUCGUUGUUGCAAUAUUGUAAGAGAUGUUUUUUUUGUUGUUGCAAUGUGUCUGUUUUGAAUGUUGCACGAAGCAAUUCGGGAUGUUUCAUGCACGUAAAGGUGUUGCAAUCCUCGGUGUUGCAAGUGUUGAUUUUUAAUGUUUCGAUAGUUAUUUUUCAAUGUUGCAACUAAGCGUCCGAUAAAACAAAAUUAUCGGACGUCCGGGCGCUAGCACUUCCUAAAAUAUAAUGAUGAUAAAACAGGAAAAAUAGCAAGGAAAUGAGCACGCAGGUGAUUAUCAUCCCAGAAAUCAUCGCCCCUCAAUUUGUGUUGGUAGUUUCGGACUUCCAUUCUCCAAGGUAAGAGUAUUUCAUACAAUCUUUUUUAUUCAUAUUUUGUACAAUCUUGAUAAAACUAGAGUACUUGGAAAAAAAAUAAGAGCCGUCUAUCCCGCGAAAUCGAACGGUGGAAAUAAAGGAAGUACCAUGAAGUACCUAAAGGAAAGUACCAAAAAUAUGAUGCCUUUUAAUUGUGUGUAAAUCUAUUUAAUUCUUUUUUAUAAAAAGGAUAAGAAAGGAAAGUACCUGCAAGUACCACUGUACCACUGGUACUUUAAAAGCAUUGUAACAAAGCUAAAAACUCAAAGGAUUUUUUAAAAAAAAAUACCGUGGUUCUAUAUUUGUAAGAGUAAGAGUGUUCAACAAAUUGUAAAUGUUAUCUCUUAUUUGAUCCAUCUCAGUGCUCCUUUGUGCAAAAUAUGCAGGCUGAUUUGGCCUCGGAAGUGUGACGCAUCUAUUCUUCAGCGAGAACACAACAGAUGACAUAUGUGGCCUAUCAUCUGGGUUUUCUUGAACACACAGGAGUGCUACUUGCAAAGCAAAAUUUUAUUUGGCAAACAAGUAUCCAUAAUAGAUGAAUCUGCCAAACAUCCUGUCUUCCCCUCCUUCCACAUAUUCCAUGCCUGAAAAUUAAAAACAAAACAAUCAUUUAUUAAAAACAAAACAAUCAUUUCGAUUGUGAUAGCUCCAAAAAGAUUCAAAUCCUCUGACUUUGAUCUUGAGUUAGAACUUCACAAAAGGCAUAUACUCACGUAGAUUAUAAGAUUCGGAAAUCCUAUUAUGUCAUCCAUGGAGCUUCUUCUUCUACCAGUUACAAUCUCCACGAGUAGUACACCAAAGCUAUAGACAUCAGACUUUAUUGAGAAGAUGCCUUCCAUUGCAUAUUCAGGAGCCAUGUAGCCACUAUUCCACCAUUUCACUUGUAUUAAUUAUUACAUGGAGAUGCAGUCAAUUGCUAAUUUAAGCAUUUAUUUAUUUAAAAUAAGCACUCACUAUGUCCCUACAACACGAUGUGUAUUUGCCUUUGUCUGGUUGUCAUUGAAGAGCCUUGCCAUGCCAAAGUCAGCUAUCUUCGGUCUCAUCUCUCCAUCUAGCAAAACAUUAGCAGCUUUGAGAUCUCUAUGAAUUAUGGUCAAUCUUGAAUCUUGUGGAGAUAGAGAAGUCCUCUUGCGAUUCCUUUGAUUAUACUAACUCGUGUCGGCCAAUCUAGCAACAUUUUUCUUGAAUUAUCUGCGUGAAGGUUCGAAUGAAAGCAAUAUGUUUAUGAGAUGUCAUUUUGAUAUUUUAAAGAGCUUAUAUUAAGGUGUUACUUGAACAUACCAAAAAGGUACCAUCUAAGCUUUUAUUAGGCAAAUACUCAUAAAUCAACAUCUUUUCUUCACCCUUGACACUGCAACUAAGAAGUCGAACCAAAUUUCUAUGUUGCAAUCUGGCAAUUAGAACAACUUCAUUCCUGAAUUCCUUGGUUCCUUAUGAAGAAUCCUUACUCAGCCUUUUGAUAGCAACUUUCUUACCACUUAACACGGCCUUCAGAAAUGUUAAAGAGAAAAGAUUGACAUACAUGCAACUCAAAAUAAUUACUGAACUGAAUCAAGCAGAAGCCUGCAUUGAGAGAAGAAAUCACCUUAUAAACUUUGCCAAAACCUCCUUGUCCAAUGUUGCAGCCACAAUAUCCUCAAAUCUAACAAAAGGGAAUCCAAAAUCUUGGGCAGUGUUCCCUUCCCCAAGUCCUUCAGAUGUACCAGUAUCACCCAGAAUUAACCCAAGCUUCUUGUGAUCUUCCCUGUUUCUUCUUCUAGCUGCCCCAAAAAUGUUUAUCAUCCAUUCUGUUGCACCAUGUACCUCAUAUAGACGUAUAAUAAAAGCAGAGUUUGUACCUUGGAACUUGAAGCAUGCAAAGAUAAUCCCCGCAAGUAUCACAAUGCUACUUACUAAAACUGCAGACAGCAAAAUCUUCAUUAACUUGGUCUUUGCCUUCCUUCUGUUACCUGUGCAAGGUCGUCAGUGCAAUGAUUUAUGCUCGCAAGCCUGAAUGUUUAUACCCAACAAUUCGAAGUUUACUCGAUAGAAAGGCACAGGAGAUAAAGUCGUCUGCACACCAGGAUCAUCCAAGCCUGCAGACCGGAGGUAGAGCGUUUCACCGCCAGCCAUAUCACCCAUCUUCUCCGUGUCAAUCAGCUCGCCGGCCCAAAUCAAGCACCUCGUCAUGCCGCCCUUCGUCCCGCUGCUGCUCAGAUCAGCAUAAGCGUACGCCACACACGAACAGUUCUUGGCGCACUCCGCCGCGCACUCCUCAGAAGUCCGGUUCCGGACGAGCACGAACUUGUCCGGCGAUUUCAUCCCCGGCAAGGCCAAGAAGCCGUCGCCGUCGCCGCACCGCAGCGCCUCCUUCCGCCGGUACCCUCGCGAGAACCUGCCGCCGCUCCAUUCCUCGGGGUUGGUAGGCUCGAAGCCGUCGAGGCACCUGCACGUCGGAGCGGCCAUGGUGCUGUCGCAGUAGCCGUACGGCCCGCAUUGGCCGUAGUGGUUGCACUCCCAUGUCGGCCAUUGCCCGAGAACCGGCCACGCCGACGAGCUGCUGUUCCAGCUCUGGAGCUGGUACUCGCCGGCGUAGGUCAGCACGUACCUGGUGUGGGUGGCGCCGUCGGAGAGGCUGUAGGAUAUGUAGGUGUCCUCCUCGGUGUUGACGAUGGCCACGUAGAUGUAAGCGCUGGAGUUGACCUGGUACUCGCCGUCGACCGUGAAGCCCGUCCAGGGGGCGCUGCGAAGCAUCGGGCGCGUCCCGUUCCAGACGAACAACUGGAGGGACGUGUUCGGGUCCGCGCCGUAGGUGAAGCUCCCCGGCGAGGGGUCGUCGGGGCCCUUCCACGACACCACCAUGCGCUCGGCAUGGCGUUCCCUGUGAUUACUGGACUUGAUCCAGAUCUUCAUCCCGGGGAGGAACGUGUCGGUCGGGUGAUCGAAGCUCUGCCACAGGGUGGUACCGUUCGGAGUCCGGACGACGAGGUUGCCGGUGUCCAAAAGCACCGCGGCGACGCCGGUGGCCGGUGGCGAUGGAGAGACACUUCCGGUGAUGUUUGUCGUCCAAAGGACCCGGCCGCUGGCGUCGGACAGGACGAGGUUGGAGGUGUUGGUCAGGGACAGCGAUGGCGGAGAGGAGCUGCUGUUUGUGAUUGGGGUCUCUCUGUUGGCGACCCACACGACGGUGAGCCGGGGGACGUCAUUGUACCAUAUGCCGAGGUGCAGCUUGGCUGGAGUGGAGUUUGUCAGGGAGAAGAAGCCCAAGGCAAUGCUGCCGCCGUCGGACACGAUGGUGGCACUAGGGAACAGCGGUUUGCCGGGGACGAGGCGGUCGUCGGAUGCACACGGCUGCACCAACAGGAGGAGGAGGAGGAGAACAGUAGCGGCAUACCUGAUAGCCGACCAAGCCAUCAAGCACUUCUCGUUUCAAAACGGCGAGGCGAUUUUGAAAGGGAUGUGCUAAUAUUAGCUCGCGAGACUGAAGAUUCUAACUUCAGCAAGGAUGGCAGGUGUUUUCUUCUUCUUUAGCCUGACGAGACCAAUCGGGAAGAAAAGAAGGGUGAGUGGCAUUCCUGCAUCCGGGAAGUCGGAAAGAAAAGCGAAGGUUGUUUUUCUUCUUCUGCAUCGAUUACGAAAGCAGUAGGUAAAAUAAUGCAGAAAUUUGGAAGUUCAGACCACAUUUAGUUUACCAAUUCAACCUCGUCUUGUGUUUGACAUUUGAGCAGUCCACGCGGACCGUGCAGUGGUUUGUAUGAUGAGAUUAUCCUUUGCCAAUGCUACUAUUGACAGAAAAGCCAAGGAACACGUAUACUACAGAACAACAUAUGAUGCGUAAAGAAACUAGAAAUGAUUGAUUAUUUUAACUUUUGAUGACUGACUGAAGUGGUUGCUACUCCGCAUGAUCAAUUCCAGUCAGUUUCCUUCGCGUUUUUCAUUUUUCACCGUUAGUAUUUUUUUCAUAAUGAAAUCUAAUAAUGUCAAUCUUAUCUUGUCAACCUAUAUACAAUUUUGUUACAGGAAUUGGAGAGCAGUGAAAAAUGGAACAGCAAAAACAAUUUACCUUUUUCUUCUCUUUUCUACUUUACUAAUAGUAUGCACAGAGUAUACAUGUUUAUUAAUUCGGGGAGGGAAUAGAGGUGCUUCCAUUCUCCAAGAUGAACACAGCAGAUGACAUGAGUGGCUUGUCGUUGGGUUGUGUUGUGUUGGGGAUCGUCAAAAAACUAAACAUCCUCGAGCGCCGUUCAUAGGUAAAAACUCUCUAACCUCGCAAGUUCUGGAUCGAGGAACAAAACUCAGUUAACCUUGCAACUUCUUAUGAAAACUAUUCUGGUAGUAAAACUCGUACCCUCGCAUAUUCUUUGCUACUUUAGGGACUCGAAGCUGACAACUGUUAGUUGAUGACUAAACUCCAAUUGUGCUAAUCCUCGAGUGUUCGAAGUCAAUCUUGAACACCAAGUUUUCACCUUUUUACUCUUUCCUCAUAAACGGAACCUGAAGGGAGACGUCGUGAGGUUACAAGCUCUUGGAGCAGCAUAACGAACCAGGCGCCACGAGGUUGGGCAUUUAUCUCGGACCGAGGGUGAUGACAUGAAGCUAGAGAAUUGGUCUGGCACGAAGGCGAAGUCCCGAGGUUAGAGGGAUGGAGGCAUGAGAAACGUGACUACGUGGAGGAAUUCAAUUUGUACACGUUACCCCAAUGACUUUUAUGUAUGGCAUAUUCUAAGAAUGUAGUGGUUGAUGAAGGAUAUUUUUUGGAUGUAAAGUGGCUCAUGGGUCACUAUAAAAGGGAAACCCUACCCUGUUGUAAAGGGAGACCCAUUGUUUUCUCGAACUUUCAAGUAUUAUCUCGUUCACAAAUAUGUUCGAUAUCAAAUUUCUUUGAGAGCAAUAGGGCGCCCAUCGUGUUCUCAGUCACAAAACAACCCACGAUGCCAUAACCAAAGAAGAAGAUCACACCGCAGGAAACCAUCGAGGGUGAAAGAGAGCAAGAGAGAGAACUUAUCCCUAUUGAUCAAGACGACAUAGACACCCUAGAGAGAUUAAAGAGAGUUGCGGCUAAUUUACGAACAAGAAGUGAGAAGAAAAGAGUCAAGGUGGAGACAACAAACCAAACACAACCAGAAACAAGCACAAGAAAUGAUUUACUUGGAGCAACAGAAAAAAAA
Molecule: long non-coding RNA, 76738 nt
Filed under: Setaria viridis
Lineage: Eukaryota; Viridiplantae; Streptophyta; Magnoliopsida; Poales; Poaceae
Description: long non-coding RNA (SVIR_LNC002329)
Source: RNAcentral